CAAUUAACUAUAGCUCUAGAGUUUUUGCAGAUUUUCAAAUAAAACUCAGAGAUUCCUUGUAUGACUCUCUCUAGUGUCUCUUUUGUGGUAUUUCUUGAUCCUUACCAAGGCAGUAAUGGUGUAUGCCUUCUCUCAAAGUAUGUGGUAUUUUUGGUAUGAGGUAUAGUGACAUUGCCUUCUCUCUCACCCUACUCUAAUAAGGUUUUGAUAUCUGGAGCUCAUAGGUGGGAGACAGCUAAUACAUACUUACAAGACAUUUAUUGCAUAGUCAAACCAUUGAUCCAGAAGAACAAGUCAAUAAGUCAAACCAAGAUGUGCAUGUGUGGCGAAUGAAUGGUGAUAAUGGUGAAAAUAAUGGUGAAAGUCUAAUUCUACUUUUUGUCUUUUGAGGGGUCACAUACCUUCCUUGCACUUGAGGCUUUUGAGGGGAAUGAGAUGCUCUAUAUUUUAUUUUUCUUUUCUCUCAGGUGGGUAUUUCUUGUACCCCUAAUUCUAGUGUCGGACACUUGUCCAUUUUUACCUCCCUCUCACUUUUUCUCUCUUCUUUUUUUCGAGGUUUCGGACACUUGCCACUUUUUAUUUUCCUCGUAUUCACUUUUUUUUCAGAGCACUCACCCUCCUGGAAUAAUAUAGCAAGUGGUAGUAACCAAAAUAUCUCAAGCAUUUAUUUCACGGGGAAUAACAGGAAUAGGAUAAUGUUUUUGACUAUUCUCUCCUAGAUAGGAGUAGAAUAAUUUUGGGUGAAUCUGGAUAUGGAAAUGAGUGGAUGUAUGCGGAUGCGUACUUCCGGAGUAGAAGCAACAUGUAUGAGUGAACGUGCAAGUGAAUCUUGAUUUUAACCGCAUGACAAGCACCUAAGGGUCUACACAGCUUGACCACACUCAAUGCUCAUAAGCAGUAAAAAAGUAAAUGUAAGGUUCAUAGUCUAAUAAGCAUGUAUAUAUGGCUGUGGUAGGAUUUUAAACUCUCUUCAUACAGGAACUCAUCAUGCAACAUUUUAAAGAUUGUCAAAGAUAAAAUUCUCCAGAAUUCUAGCAUCUCUAGGAACAGAUAAACAGCAGCUCAACCUUCCCAUAUUGACAGGUUAACGAUAUGAAUCGAUACGAGGGUGGCCUGAUCUUCACGACGGUAGAUCAAAAGAACUAGUAUAACUUGCUGUGAACAGUGGGUAACUAGCUUUAUACCUGACAAAGGUUGGAUGUGACCAAGCGACGGGGAGAGAGGCACCGAAACCACGAAGACUUCGACUCGAUCUCCAAACGACCACAGAACCACAAUCUAGAACUAAUCCACACAAUACGGCGCAGCCGAACGGAAGCCGUAGAGCACGAAGUAAGGGAGCCCAGAGGAUUCACUUCACAAGUCCAAGAAGAACAAGAAAGAACAAAGGUUGAGUAAGGCACUCAGCAGCGCGGCUGCAAUAUCAUGUAGUUUAUCAAAUGAUCAAAGGUUGCUGAUAGCUUAGAGGUAGGCGAUAUUUAUACUAGAAACAACCCUCCUAGAUAGGUAUGAAAAUGAAAUAGAGUUUCUGAGGGAAGGCAAUGUGAAAGGACCCCUCGGAAUGGAUUCCCGAACUGGCUUCGCGUGACUGUUGGCCUCCAGAGCUGUUUCCAAUAAGCUGACCAUAACUUUUUAUUGGAAAGUGCAAAUGAUGAACCGUUUCUUGGUGUGAAACUAGACACGAAGAUCUUUCUGGCAAUGUAUGCUAUGCACCACAAAACAUUGUAGAUUGGUACAGUUUUGCACGGCAAGUUGUACCAAUAUUCUGUCACGGCAGACUGUUGACCUUCUGAGCAGUCUGUACUAAUUCUGGUCUGCAGGCAAUAUGGAGUAUCAAAACUGGUCGCCACUAGAUGCAUUGGAAAGUAGACUCGGCAAGCUUUCCAUCAAGUCCUCAUGGGCCUUCAUAGCUUUUGUGAUUAAAAAGUUAUGAAGAUUUCUUUGCACUAGUCCGUUUUUGACUUCCACUGGUCCGUUUUUGACGUGUCUUCUAGGACUUGCACUGGUUCGUUCUUCAGGGUCCGAUUCAUCCUUCUCUUCUUCUAUAUACCUGAGUACAAUCAAGGUAGAACACUUAGGUAGAAUAUAAUUGUCAUUAACAUUAAAAUGAAUCUCACAAAGUAGCGCGUUGACCUCUUGUUGUAGCUUCUUUGCACGACUACGUGUAACCGGUCCAUCGAUGACUUGGGCUGGUGUCGGUGUAGGUAAAACUUGAGUGGUUGUAGCUUGACUUGGAGCUUGUGACAUAUUGCUUGCUGUUAUGUUCAUAUCAUCCUGCCCUCUUGAAAAGGAGUCAUCCUCGACUCGUCCAAUCCAAUAAAAGGAGAUAAAUCGGCGACAUUGAAGCUUGUACUCACACCAUAUGUACUUGGGAGAUCAAUUUCAUAUGCAUUGUCAUUGAUCUUGCGAAGCACUUUGAAUGGACCAUCGGCUCGGGGUUGCAGCUUGCUCUUGCGUUGUUCAGGAAAGCGAUCCUUGCGCAGGUACACCCAAACUAAGUCUCCCAGUUCAAAUAACAUCUUCUUACGACCCUUGUUGGCGCGCUUCUCAUAUAACUUGGUCAUCUUAUUAAUGUUUGCUUUAGCUUGAUCAUGAAGCUUCUUGACAAAUUCUGCUCGCUUGCUUGCAUCAAAGUUCACACAUUCCUGCAUUGGCAAAGGCAAAAGAUCGAUGGGAGCAGUAGGUUUGAAUCCAUAGACAAUCUCAAAUGGACAAAAUUUUGUGGUCGAAUGUACUGCCCUGUUGUAUGCAAACUCCACAUGAGGCAAGCUUUCUUCCCACAAUUUCAGAUUCUUCUUUAGGACAGCUCGCAGCAAUGUUGAUAAUGUGCGGUUCACAACUUCAGUUUGUCCAUCUAUUUGAGGAUGACACGUUGUGGAGAACAGCAGCCUUGUCCCCAGUUUUCCCCACAAGGUUUUCCAAAAGUAGCUCAAAAACUUGGUGUCACGAUCAGACACGAUGGUACGUGGCACUCCAUGUAGAUGCACAAUUUCUCUGAAAAACAAUUCAGCAAUGUGUGAAGCAUCAUCGCUCUUAUGACAGGGAAUAAAGUGUGCCAUUUUGCUAAAUCUAUCAACCACAACAAAUAUGGAAUUCUUUCCCCUCUUGGUUCGUGGUAAACCAAGGACAAAGUCCAUAGAAAUGUCCUCCCAAGGGAUACUAGGGAUAGGUAGAGAAGUGUAUAAACCAUGAGGAUUCAAACGGGACAUAGCUUUGUGGCAGGUUUCACAGCAAAGAACAUGCCUCUCCACAUCUCUUCUCAUCUGAGGCCAAAAGAAAUGGUCAGUCAGCACUUGUUCUGUUUUCUUUGCACCAAAAUGGCCCAUAAGUCCUCCUGCAUGAGCUUCCUGCACUCGCAAAAUGCGAACAGAGAAAUCUGGAAUGCAAAGUUUAUUAGCUCGAAAUAAGAAACCCUCAUGCAAAUGGAAUUUUUCCCAUCCCUUGCUGCCACAACACUUGGAAUAUGGUUCAGCAAAAUAUGAAUCCUUAACAUAUAGUUCUUUUAUACUUUCUAAUCCAAGAAUUUUAGUAUCAAGUCGUGAAAGUAAAGUAUGACGUCGAGACAAAGCAUCAGCUACAAUGUUAUCUUUCCCUUUCUUGUACUUGACAACAUAAGGAAAGGACUCAAUGAACUCACUCCAUUUUGCAUGCCUUCGGUUCAGUUUUAGUUAGCCUUUAAGAUGUUUCAAAGAUUCAUGGUCUGAAUGUAUCACAAAUUCUUUAGGCAAAAGGUAGUGUUGCCAAGUUUCCAAGCUUCUAACAAGAGCAUAUAAUUAUUUAUCAUAAACUGAGUAAUUCAGAGUUGGACCACUUAACUUUUCACUGAAGUAUGCAAUCGGCCUCCUUUCUUGCAUGAGAACGCCGCCAAUUCCUAUACCACUUGCAUCACAUUCAAUUUCAAAUGUCUUACCGAAAUCUGGAAGUGCAAGAAGUGGGGCUGUUGUCAACUUCAUCUUCAGUUCUUCAAAUGCCUUCUCUUGUGCUUCUCCCCAAUUGAAAGGCACUUGUUUCUUUGUCAACUCAUUGAUUGGAGCAGCAAUGGUGCUGAAAUCUUUCACAAAUUGCCGAUAGAAACCAGCAAGUCCAAGGAAGCCACUCACUUGGCUUGCAUUCUGUGGAGGCAUCCACUCACGAACGGCUUUGAUCUUAUCCUCAUCCACCUCCACACCAUGUCCUAAAACAACAAAACCAAGAAAGACUACCUUGUCGGUGCACAAUGUGCACUUGUCAAGGUUAGCAUACAAUUUUUGCUCACGUAGGACAAUAAGCACACUUUGGAUAUGCUCAACAUGUUCAUCAAGAGACUUGCUGUAAAUUAAUAUAUCAUCAAAGUAAACCACAACAAACUUGCCAAUGAAAGAUCUAAGCACAUGAUUCAUCAAUCUCAUAAAGGUACUUGCUGCAUUAGUCAAUCCAAAGGGCAUUACCAACCAUUCAUACAACCCAAACUUGGUUUUAAAAGCUGUCUUCCACUCAUCUUCUUCUCUCAUUCUUAUUUGGUGAUUGCCACUUCUCAAGUCAAUUUUAGUGAAAAUUGUUGCACCACUAGGUUCAUCAAGCAUAUCAUCAAGUCUAGGAAUGGGAUGCCUAUAUCUUACUGUGAUGUUACUAAUAGCUCUAUAGUCAACACACAUUCUCCAUGAACCAUCUUUUUUUGGAACUAAAAGAACAGGGACUGCACAAGGUGAAAGACUUUCCUGCACAUACCCUUUUCUCAUCAAUUCUUCCACUUGUUGCUGAAUUUCUUUUGUUUCCUCCGGAUUGGUGCGGUAUGCAGCUCGGUUUGGAAGUGAAGCACCAGGAACAAGGUUGAUUUGAUGUUCAAUUCCUCUCUUGGGUGGCAGCCCUGGUGGUACCUCAUAUUCCUGUAACACAUUAAAAAUAACACUUGACAAAGUAGAGGAUAAGUCGUUAGGGGAAAGAAAAUUUUCCUUGUACAGGAGUACAAAGAAUGUGGCAUUGGGUUCACUCAAUUCUUUAAAAUCCCCUUUCCUAGCCAUCAUAACUAAUCCCUCUUUUCCCUUUGUCUUGGUCAUUUGUGGCUGUGGGGUUUUAAUUGGCUUUGGAAACACUCCCUCACUAUUUUUGUGGGUCACUCACAAGUGGUUCUCUCUCUCUCUCGCUGUUUUCUUUUUAGAUCAUCAUUCAAAAUCUCCUCCCGUGUCAAAGGGAGCAAAGAAAUUCGCUCUCCUAUGUACAUGAAAGCCAGCUUGUUGGUUCUUCCAAAGAUCUGAACAUCACGAUCAUAUAACCAUGGUCUUCCUAGCAGCAGUUGGCAUGCUUGCAUAGGCACCACAUCACACUCCACAUGAUCAUUAUACCUCCCAAUAGAGAAAGGAACUGUCACAACAUGGCUCACACGCAGCGCACCACAAUCAUUCAGCCACUACAUCUUGUAUGGAUUAGGAUGACGCCUUUGUUUUAGCUCCAUUCUAUCAACCAAUUCUAUCAACUAAUUCUACACAACUUCUCUUUGAUCAUGCCUCGAGUGUGGAAAAGAUUGUGUCGCUGCCCAUUCUCUUCCUUUGCAGCAGUAACACUAAGCACACGAAGAGAAAUAAAGCAGUUGUUAUCACCUUCAUUGGGUUGGAUCUCAUUAUCAUUGUUUUCAUGAUCCUCAUCAUAUCUUGGACCUUCUUCCUCAUGAUCACUUUCAGAUUCCCAUUCACCAUUCUCAUUCACAAUCAUGGUCCUCCUACUAGGACAUUGUGCAGCAAUAUGUCCACGACCAUGGCACUUGUGGCACACAAUUUCUCUACUACGUGCAGAGGAAGUAGUAGCUAAGGAAGCAACAGUUGGGGCUGCUACACUUGUAGCAGGUCGCUGCUGAUAUGCAGGGGAUGAUGUUGUAGAAACCACCAUCUUUGAAGGAGCAUUAGAUGAAGAGGGCCUAGCUGCAGCACCUUGGGACCGUCCCCCACCGAAAGAAGUGCUGGACUGCUGCUUGCGCCAUGGGGCUGCAAUAGAAUGACUUGCAUAAGAUUUUCCACGUGUCUCUUGCUGAAUUUUUCUUUCAGUACGCAUAGCUUGAUCAACAAGGUCUUGCAAAGUAUAAUAUAGGAACAUCUCAACAAAACCAGCAAUUUCCUCAUUGAGACCACCCAAAAAUCUUGCCAUUUUUUACUCUAGAUCCUCUCUAAUUCCAGUCCGCACUAACAGCAGCUCCAUCUCCUUAUAAUACUCAUCAACCGAUCUUUUUCCUUGCUUCAACAUUUGUAACCUAUUGCGAAGGUCACGCUGAUAGCUUGACGGUACAAAUCGCCUUCUCACCACUUGCUACAUCUCUUCCCAUGUGUUGAUAUGUUCACGGCCCAACACAAGUUGAUUCUCUUGUAUCUGAUUCCACCAAGUCAGAGCAUAACCAGAGAACUUCAUUGAAGCAAGAUUGACACACCUCUGAUCAGAGAUAUUAUGCACUCUGAAAAUUUGAUCACACUGCUCAGCCCACUCAAGAUAUGCAUCUGCAUCCUCUCUUCCAGUGAAUUUUGGGAUACUCAACUUGACACGAGCAAUGUUGUCCCGGUCUUCCCUAUUACGACGUCCAUGAUGAUGCUCUCUAUCUCCAUGAUCAGCAUGCCGCUGAUGAUCAUGGCGCCGCCUAUGCAGCCCAUCAUUUGCAAAGGGAUUCUCAUCAGAACCCUCUUCGUGACCAAAGUUAUCAAAUUCUUCAUCAUCAAAAUGAACUCAAUGGCCAUGACCACGUCCAUGAGCUCGUCCUCCAUCUUGGCCAUGUUGACCAGCCCGCCUACCACCACCACGACCAUCUCUGAAACGGUCAUGUCCUCCAUUAGAAUUUUCAGCACUAGAUUCAUCAGAUUGAUGCCGAGGAGCCCUCCGCCCAUCUGCAGAUAUGGGUGCAUCAAGCAUCCUCUCCAUGCCCUGCAAGAGUGAGUCUGCCAUUUGGCGCAACUCAGCCCGUGCAACAGGGGGUUCUUCUCCAUGACGAUUACCAUGAAUACUUGAGUUGGAUCUUGUCAUGUUAGCAAUAAAGCAAAUUAUAGUGGAAUGGGUAAAUUUGUGGAAUCACACAACCUCACCUCUUACUUACCAAUGCUCUUUCCUGUUCUUAAGGACAGUGAAUUGUGCUAGUGUAGCGGCUCAACAGAAGUGAUUCCGAGGUCGCAAGGAUUACGAGUCGAAAGUCCUGGUUUUCAGUUUUUGGUGGAGCUAUAGGUGGCUAAACAAGGGAGGCUACGGUACUCAAAAUCAAGUGGUUUUAUGUGCUCACAAGAUGUAUUGUUGCUGGUAUAUAAAUCACCAAGAAUCUGAAUAUGUAAACUGAAUUUUUCAGUGGGCAAACCGCAAUACAACCCCUUUUCCUCUUCUUCUAUUUUUUUUUGUUCUUUCUCUUUUCUCUUCUCAGAUUUUUUUCACUGACUUUUUUUAUCUCUUUUUUUUAUAUUAACAGGGGUGCGGAUAACAAAUGAAACACAACACAAUAUAUGUAAAGAGGGUGACUAGCAACUUGAUGAACACAAAACACAAGAUAACAGUACCGUCAAAGGGCUAUAGGAUUUUUUUUGUGGCUUUUUCAGUGGAUUAUAGGUGAUGAACAAAACAGUAACAAAUGAUAGAUAAACUAAAGGUAGACAUGUGGAUGAUUGUGAGAUCUACCGUGACAACGAAAGCUUUGAUACCAGUUGAUAGGUUACCGAUAUGAAUCGAUACAAGGGUGGCCCGAUCUUCACGACAGUAGAUCAAAAGAACAAGGAUAACUUGCUUCGAACAGCGGGAUUACCUGACAAAGGUUUGAUGCGACCAAGUGACGGGGAGAGAGGCAGCGAAACCACAAAGACUUUGACUCGAUCUCCGAACGACCGCAGAACCACAAUCCGGAACUAAUCCACACCAUACGGCGCAGCCGAACGGAAGCCAUAGAGCACGAAGUAGGGGAACCCAGAGAAUUCACUUCACAAGUCCAAGAAGAACAAGGAAGAACAAAGGUUGAGUGAAGCACUCAGCAACGCGGCUGCAAUAUCAUGUAGUUUAUCAAAUGAUCAAAGGUUGCUGAUAGCUUAGAGGUAGGGGAUAUUUAUACUAGGAACAACCCUCCUAGAUAGGUAUGAAAACGAAAUAGAGUUUCUCAGGGAAGACAAUGUGAAAGGACCCCUCGGAAUGGAUUCCCGAACUGGCUUCGCGUGACUGUUGGCCUCCAGAGCAGUUUCCAAUAAACUGACCAUAACUUUUUAUUGGGAAGUCCAAAUGACGAACCGUUUCUUCGAUGUGAAACUAGACUCGAAGAUCUUUCCAGCAAUGUAUGCCAUACACCAUGAAACGUUGUAGAUUGGUACAGUUUUGCACGGUAAGUUGUACCAACAUUCUGUCACGGCAGACUGUUGACCUUUUGAGCAGUCUGUACUAAUUCUGGUCUGCAGGCAAUAUGGAGUAUCAAAACUAGUCGCCACUAGAUUCAUUGGAAAGUAGACUCGGCAAGCUUUCCAACAAGUCCUCAUGGGCCUUUAUAGCUUUUGUGAUUAAAAAGUUAUGAAGAUUUCUUUGCACUGGUCCAUUUUUGACUUCCACUGGUCCGUUUUUGACUUCCACUGGUCCGUUUUUGACGUGUCUUCUAGGACUUGCACUGGUUCGUUCUUCAGGGUCCGAUUCGUCCUUCUCUUCUUCUAUAUACGUGAGUACAAUCAAGGUAGAACACUUAGGUAGAAUAUAAUUCUCAUUAACAUUAAAAUGAAUCUCACAAAGUAGCGCGUGGAUCUCUUGUUGUAGCUUCUUUGCACGACUACGUGUAACCGGUCCAUCGAUGACUUGGGCUGGUGUCGGUGUAGGUAAAACUUGAGUGGUUGUAGCUUGACUUGGAGCUUGUGACAUCUUGCUUGAUGUCAUGGUCAUAUCACAUAUCGUAUCCGUUAACGACUUAGACUUUAGAUCAAGUACUCUUUCGACAAGUUUAAGUUUAGAGCAAAUCUUAAUUAAUAACAGUCAUGCCUAAACUUGAGAGAGAUUUCAAUUUUGAGAACUAGUCAUGGCAGAGCAACUAUUCAUCAUUUCCAUGUGUGAGUUUAUCAUGAGGGUUCAUAGCAAACUUUAUUUAUUUAUUUAUUUAGCAAACUAAGCAAAGAUAUGUAUAAGCAUAAAAUUUUUAUUUGGGUUUUUAUGAUUAUGCAUCUUUUUAUUAUUUGAAUAAAGUAUAAACGUGAGUAGAACACUUAGCUGGAUAAAUGGGUGUGCUCUCCCCCAAGCUGGAUUUUGACAUAAUUUCGUCUGAUGUAGCUAGCAGGUGGCGGAGGUGUAUUUGAAUGUCGGUACCACCCUGACAGCGAUUAGGAUGUCCUCCGUCUGCUAGUCUUCUUUGAUCCUUGAAUUCUGUGGAGCUCAAAUAGACAACAAAGCUUUGUGGAACUGAUUAGGUGUUAGCAUAAAUAUCUACCCUUUAUCAUGUUGAGUCUCCUCAAUAAAUGCUACUGUAUUUGGUAGGAUCACAAUUUUAUUUUUAUAUUUUCAUUUUUUAUAGAGCAGAAGAAUAUUUUUAUUUUAUUAUUAUUAUUUUUUUAUGCCACCACAGUGAAUGUACUUAUGGGUUUUAUGCCACUUGUAUACUCGCGUGGGGCUUACUGGUUUUAACAUUUUUAUUUUUUUUUCUUUUCAAGAUGUUACGAACCUGAUUAACUAAGCAAACUAUUUUAAAUAAUUGAAAAGAAAAGGAUAACUACCAAGUUUACCUCUUGGCAAGACGUUCGGUGUUUUUAAGUCCUCCGAACGGGACUCUCCAUUUUCUCAGCCGUCCUGGGAUUCGCUGGAUGGCGUAAUCAGUGGUUCCAGUGGCGUCUCCUCUUCGUGUAUAACUAUCUUCUCUCUCCACACCUGACUCGGUGCUACGGUCUACUCAGGACAGUUUUGUUCAAGUCUUCAGACCUUACCACUUCUCAAAUAGACAACAAAACUUUGUGGAACUAGUUAAGUGUUAGCAUAAAUAUCUAGCCUUUAUCAUGUUGAGCCUCCUCAAUAAAUGUUACACUCUUUGGUAGGAUCAUAAAUUUAUUUUUAUAUUUUAAUUUUUAUAGCACAUAAAUAUAUUUAUUUUAUUUUUAUGCCACCACAGUGAAUGUACUUAUGGGUUUUAUGCCAUGAGCAUACUCACAUGGGGCUUACUAAUUUUAACAUUUUUAUUUUCUUUUUAAGAUGAUAUGAACCUGAUUAACUAAGAAAACUAUUUUAAAUAAUUAAAAGGAAAAAGAUAACUACCAUGUUUACCUCUUGGCAAGGCGUUCGGUGUUUUUAAGUCCUCUGAACGGACUCUCUGUUUUCUCAAUCGUCCUGAGAUUAGCUGGAUGGCGUAGUCGGUGGUUCCGGCGGCGCCUGCUCUUCUUGUAUAACUAUCUUCUCUCUCCACACCUGACUCGGUGCUACGGUCUCCUCAAGACAGUUCUGUUCAAGUUGUAUGUCUUGAGACCUUAUCACUUCUCCUUCGUAGUCUGCCCAUCCGUCCUUGAUGAUUUGCCUCCUCUGGUUGCGGUUGCGUCGUCUUCUUCUUGUCCUGACCUGCUUAGAGUCUUCAACUAUAUAGUUAGGUUCAGUAAAAUAGCGGCGUACCUUCUCAGAGGGAAAGUGCAUGUGGACUUCUCUGACUCCAAUAUAGAUGAUUGCUUUAACGGUGCUGAGGAACGGUCUCCCAAGGAUGAUGGGUGCAUCGUACUCGUCUUCUCCCAUGUCAAUAACCUUUCGGAAUGUCUGAUCUGCCAUCUAGAGCUGGGUCGUCCUUUUUGGUCAGGAACGGUGACUUAAGUCGACGAUCUUGACCUCCUUGAACUACAGUGACCAUCUUAGCUGACUCGGUCCACAUUUGCUUGUUCCUAUUCCUCCUAAUGGUCCUCUUCCUUGGUUCAUGUUGGGAUUGCUCUGAGAUUUGUGUAGUCUUGUUCUUGAAGGAAAACGUCUCCUUCCUCCCCUUGAUGUAGAAACUAAUCUUGGCAGCACUAGCGUAGAUAACAGCUCCCGAGGUGUUCAGGAAUGGCCUCCCUAGGAUGAUGGGUGCCCUCUCAUCAGUACCCGUCUCUAUCACAGCGAAAUCUGCUGGGGCGUACAAGGUACCAACUCGGACACAGAGGUUCUUCAAUAUUCCCUUUGGGAAACUUCAUUUUUGUUCCCUUAUUAUUUUGCAGCUUAUGUUUCCUUCAUCGGAGGAUUGAUAGCAUACGACUUUGCCCUAUACUGUUAUAAGUUGUAUUAGUAUAUGUUUACUCUACAUCUUAUAGUUUUUUGGCUAAGUUUCAAUCAGUUCACUUUGUUUUCGUAUAUGUGCUGUAUGAUGUUCCAGUCAACUUUUUUUUGAUCUUCAAUAUGUCUUGCGGGUCUUGCGGGUUUUACAUACAAAUUUGUUAUGUCCGCGGAACACUUGUCCGCAAAGAUUACAACUUUGUGGCCUGCUACAAGCCCGCUAAUAAAUUUUGUGGCAAGCAAUGCGGGUUAGCGGCCGGCUACGAACGAGCCCGCCUUGUUGGUGUCUUUGUAGUUCCUUCGUUUUCAAAGUGUCAGAAUUUGAGAGCAUUGCUUUAAGUAUUUGAGUGCUUUCUAACUUUGAAUAAUGAAGGGUUCAUCCUGUUUCUGACAAUAUCCAAACUGCAUUCUUUCCAUAACCGUGCUAGUGGUAAUGGGUUUGGUGCUCCUUUCUUUAUGGCUGCAGCUGAAGCAACAGAUGAAGCCGAGCUCUUCUCUUGUCCCAGCAUUGAAGAUGAAAAAGGUUUGGAGUCAAAGAUCAAAUGAAGAUAAGGUUUGUUCCUUUUUUUUCCAACUUAGCAUUUUGGCCAUUACCUCUAUCAGUAUGGUUGAAUAUGUGAAUUUGACACAUUUGUCUCUCAUUUCCUGGUUUAAAACUGCUUCGCUAGUAACUUUACAUACCUAAAGCAAUGAUCAUCAUAUCUGUUAUUAUAUAGCAUUAUUUUGUAAUGUUAUGAUGGAAGCAGUAGUUAGUUCUUGGUUUGUUCCCUUUUAGAUUUGUAGCGAGCGGCCCAUUCUGAGCGGCAGCGCAUCCUCCAGUGAGAAGAAAAUGGUUUGUUCCCUUUUUUCAACCUUACUGUUUUUUCUGCUAUGUUUUUUACUAUGUUUUAUCCCAGUGGACUGCCUCUAUAUUGACUAUGUUUUUGAUAUAUAAUAACAGGGAAACAAACAUCAUGUAUGGAACCAUGAGCAAGAAUGCUUUUUGAUUCGGGAAUCUGAGACAACUUUCAGCUAGACACUUUUCUACGAAAAAGCAGCUAAAUGUUGCGCUUUCGAGGGCGUUGAACUCUGGGUUUUUAAAUGUUCAAGUUCCGUUCACAAACGAAGUUGUUAAGUCCAAGAUUGCAAAACUUCAAUCAAAGUGGGUAUCAGGUUGUCUGGGUAUUGACUGCCUCCAAUGGUUGCCAACUUUUUGUUUGGUGCCACUCCUAGUGUUAGUGAACCCGCAACAGCUGAUUUGGAGAAUCUGAACAGCGAGGGGAAUAUGAACAAUGGGAGGAAUGCGAACAACAGGGGGAAUGUGGCUGUGGACAACGCGUCCAUCGUGGGUGUUCUUGAAUCUAUGCAGCUCCCAAGAAUACAGAUAGUAGAUGCAACAGAAAUGAUGACAAAUGCUCCUCUGUCUCAGAAAGAAACUUUCAUGGCCUUCACUGACAACAAACUUCGCAUCAUCUGGCUCAAGAGACGCAUGAAUAUACCUUUAAGUGCAGAUGAAGUUGCAGCUGCAGAUGAAGUUGCACAUGCUUAAAAGGUUAGUGCAAUAAGUAUACAGACUUCUUUAGAUGCUUUCUCUUCAUUUUGCUUGGGUCUUAGCUCUUCAUGUUGAUAGUUGUUGCGUUAUACAUCUUUAGGUUCUGCUGGGACUGAUGGGACUGCUAGGAGUCAUGGAGAUGGAGAUGCUACCUGCUGUUGAAAUCUGUGAUGCUGAAGGAAUCUGUGAUGUUGAACUCUUCUUUUUCAUCUUUUUAUUAAAGACUUGUAUUGCCCUUAUGUGAACUGUCAGUGAUCGUGUGCUAUGGUGCUACCAGCUGAACUUUUUUUUAAUCUUUUUAAAGACUUGAUGCUGAAGGAAUCUGUGAUGUUGAACUCUUGUUUUUUAUCUUUUUAUUAAAGACUUGUAUUGCCCUUAUGUGAACUGUCUGUGAUCGUGUGCUAUGGUGCUACCAGCUGAACUUUUUUUUAAUCUUUUUAAAGACUUGAAUUCUGCCUUUGUAUCUUUUUCAGCGAAGUUGUGAACUAUGUCGCUUUAGUACUUGGAUGUAUUGGUCUGAAUGCCUGAAUGUUGAAUUACCUAGUUGAUGUUUUAUUCCGUUAAGCAGAUGAUAACUUAUGCUUCCUACGUGUGCUGAUAAAACCAUGUUGAUAAAUAGAUGUGAAUGCCUCAACAAGAUUUGACAGAAGCAUUGUGGGGUGUUUAGUACGUAAGAUUCAAGAUCUCAUGCAAAUUGAGUUCUCGUCUUGUAAUGUUGUUAACUGCAAUAGACUUUGUAAUAAGGUUGCUGGUUGCUUAGCAACCUAUGGAGCAUGUUUGUUGGCCUUUGGCUCUGAUGUGUAUUGGUGCCAAACCCCGGAGUUUGUAACAGAACUCAUUAGUGGCGAUUUGCCUGGAUGUCAUGCCUAAUGCAGUUGUGUUUGAUACGUAGAUAAUAAAACCUGAAGUCAUCAUCUGCUCAACAGGAUCAUAAAACCAGUUUUAUCCUCUGCGUUUUAGCAUCUCGUGGCUAGAUAAUAAAUCCGAAGUCCUCAUCUGCUCCACGUGAUAAUAAAACUGGUUUUAGCGACUUAGUUUUAGCAUUUCACACUUGCAUAUAUAAAUUUGUGUUGGUUGGACGACGACGAUGAGUUCAUACCUUCAUAUGUCCAGCGGCUUUUUGGAAGUCGGAAUGGCGUCGGUCCGCGAAGAGUUGCCCGCUGGUCGAUCGGCAACACGCACUGACGCACCGGUUCCAUCGCAUAUAUCGGCAACACGAACUAACCGCGCACAGAGGUGGCCGCUCUUCAGUACACAUAUAUGGCCGAUCGCCGUGUCGUCGCCGCCAUCUUCUUGACGAUGCUGCCAGACGAAUUGCUCGCCGAGAUCUUCGUUGCCGUCGUCGUUGGGAGCGUCCUUCCGGCGCGUGAUUUCCUGAGGCUUCGUCGUGUCUGCUCCCACUUCCGGCGCAUCUGCAACGAGGCCCACGUGCUCCGGCGCCUGCCGCUCCGUAAGAUUCGUUACGGUCUCCGGCGCCGGUCAUAUGCGCAGGAGAUCAUGGAGCGGCGCUUCUUCGACGCCGGUCAUAAGGAGGCCUUAUACUACGAGGGGAUGGUGAGGUUGCUCAAGGAUCCGCGCCAUCCCGUGCCCGGGGUGGCGCUCGUCAAGCACGCCGCUGACCUUGGGAACUCCUGUGCGUGUUACUUCAUGGCGAUACUGCGGUACCAUUUCAACCCCGCCGACCACCAAUCCAACAAAUCUGCAUCAGCCCACCGCCGCCCCGGCUUGGAGGAAGGUGGGAGAACCGCGGCGUGUCUGCGGUGCGCCAGCUCGUCCAUGAUGACCUCUACGACAUUGCGCGCAAGAGCUACCUUCGCCAAUGUGACGACCCACCGGCCCUGCUCGUCGACGAUCCCCACAUUUGCAUAUGGGAGCAAUGCAGGCGCUGGGGUAACACGGGGCCGCCCAUCUGGUACUGCAGCGCAGAGUGCCGCAUCCGCCAUGAGUUCGACCUCUGGACGCGGCCUCUCAGGGACGACGUGAAGUACAGCAUCAGCCGCAUCAGAGCAUCGAUAAUAUUUUAAAUUUGUUGUUGCGAGACGCGCACGGUGGUGCUCGAUCGGCUCUGUGAAGGAUGAAACAAAGCAGAUUGAUCGCUGCUAAUUAAGUUAUUGCAAUAAAUAUAUUGUAAGAGAGGUCGACUUGUUAUCGUUGUUAUUAUGUGUAUAGGUUGACAAUAAUGUAUAUGUAUUAUUGUGUACUUAAAAUGAACAUGGUGCAAGACAAUUUAUAUUGUGUGAUCGAAAACUUGUAUUAUAGGACGCACGUAGAGCAGUGAGAGGGCAGCGGGCGCACGCACCUCGGAAGCUGGCCAAACGAAAGCGGAGGAGAGAGUUUCCGUCGUUGUACAUUCGUCCGCCCGUCUAGGCCUGCCCUUAUAACCACGAGGCACUCUGUCGUUUGACUUGAGCCAACCGGCGCCGGUGGGUUGCCGCGGCGUGCCUCCGCGCGGGCGCGCCGCUACACCUGGCCGCCACGCAGGGCCGCCCGAUAUACCUGGUUUUAUUAUCAUGGGCCCAUGUGCUAACAUCGGGUCAUAAAUCUGGUUUUAUUAGCCCUGUCAGCUGAUCAUGACUUCAUGUUUUAUUAUCCCACCAGAGGUGCUAAAAUCAACGAGAUAAAACAGGUUUUAGGCUGCAGAUCUUGACUCCAGGUUUUAUUAUCCAUGGUAACGUUGCUAAAACUACGUCGAUAAAAGAGGUUUUUUUAUCCCGAGGAAGAUCAUGAGGCCCAGUUUUAUUAUCGUGAGCCCGUGUGCUAAAACGGGGUCAUAAAUCGGGUUUUAUUAUCCAUGUCAGCUGAUCAUGACACGUGUGUUAUCAUCUCACCUGAGCUGGUAAAACCAUGAAGAUAAAACCGGUUUUAUGAUCACGAGGAAGAUCAUGAGUCUGUGUUAUAUUACCAGCGGACCCUGUGCUAAAAUUUCAACGAUAAAACAUGUUUUAUUAUCCCGAGGAAGAUCAUGAGGCCAGGUUUAUUAUCAUUGGCCCAUGUGCUAAAACCGGGUCAUAAAUCAGGUUUUAUUAGCCCUGUCAGCUGAUCAUGACUUCAUGUUUUAUGAUCCCACCUGAGCUGCUAAAAUCAACGUCCCUGCAGCAGGUGUCCAUCGCCUUAACUCGAUCCAUCCUCCAACAAGAACACGAGCAUUGCGGCAAGAAGCAUGGAGACAUGGCAGCAGGUCCAGAUCAGCUAACUGAUCGAAAAACCCUGUAGAUAAAACCUGUUUUAUUAUCCCGAGGUAGAUCAUGAGGCCGGGAUUUAUUAUUAUGAGCCCAUGCGCUAAAACCGGGUCAUAUAUCCAGUUUAUUAUCCCUGUCAGCUGAUCAUGACUACGAGUUUUAUUAUCUCCGCUGAACUGCUAAAACCAGGAAGAUAAAACAUGUUUUAUUAUCACGAGGAAGAUCAUGAGGCCGGGUUUUAUUAUCAAGAGCUCUUGUGCUAAAACCAGAUCAUAAAUCUAGUUUUAUGGUCCCUGUCAGCUGAUCAUGACUAACAGAAAACACAUCACUACGACUGUACAGAAAACGAAUCACCAAAUUUACAGAAACAUAUAUCAUCAUCACAAAUUAACAGAAAACACAUCACCAAAUUUACAGAAACAUACCAUCAGAUGCGGUGUUCAUCAACUAAAGAGUUUUUUGAAAGUAGAUAAACUACAACUUGUUCAUCAGAUGCAGUGUUCAUCCAUGCCUGACAAUUAACUACCAUAAAAACCAUUACAUGUCCAUUCUCUGACAAAACAAAUGAUCAGUUUUACUGGCAAAACACCAACAGUCACCGCCACGUCUCUCCUUUCCAGCAGGCUUCAUUCGAUGACCAACCCUGCCACCUUGUUUUUUGGGUGGGAGACAAUGUAGUCCAGCACUGAGAGAUGGUAUGUAUCCAAGCUAGGCUGCGAGCACUAAAAUGGGUCAUGGACAGAGUUUUCACAUUAUGAAAAAUGUAGGUGAGGGUCAAUACUUACAGUGAAUGGUAUGCCAUUAAAGCUCUCAAGAAAGCACAUGGACAGCAAGCCAACUUUAUAGGAACUACUGGAAGUACCAAUCCACUCAUUGAAGCUUGGUAUGUGUGUGUAAUUAACACAUACCGCUUCCCUGUGAGCAAAAGAUGGUUUCCUGUUCCACUUGCUCUCAGCGGCCUCUUGCAAUGCCUUGAAAACUUUUAUGCGCUGAUCUUUCCUUGUUUUUUCCCGGUGUUCUUUACACCUGAAGCUCACAAAAUAUUGAGACUUGGCCACAACGUAGAUAAUCCAUAGGUCACCAUGCAAGACAGGUAAAAGGAUCUGGAAAAAUAUAUAAUGAAUUCAAAUAUAUAGGGAAUUUCAAAACUUGGGUUUACUUAAGUUUAAAAUCAAGACUGGUUUUACCCUGUCAUAGUUGUUAUAUAGUUUGGGCAUGGUAUUGAUGAUGCUUUCCUUGAAUUUCUCAGGGUCUUCUUCCAUUAGUGCCUGGUGCAAAACAAACAGCAUGUUAUUUUGUAGUAGAGAUCACUAUAAAUUUAAUGAUGUUUAGGGUGCAAAACAAACAGAGUAAUCUUACAUAGUUCUGGGGCGGAAAAAAUAUCCUGAGUUUAUUCUUCUUGUCCUCAUCAAAUCUCAACCAUUCGAUGAAUACUUGUAGGAUAUUGAGGGUGAGCGCACCACCAGAAAUGAACUCAGCUACAUCAGCCCCUUUUAUAGAUAUCCCUUCUAUACGAAUGAACUCCUGUCUGUCAUUUACAAUACGAGUAUUAGAUGUUUGUAUUAGAAAUAGCACAAGACAAAUACGAGUAUUAGAAAUAGCACAAAACAAAUACGAGUAUUAGAAGCUAAUACUUACUGGUUGUAUGAGCUCUCUUCGGAAAUGAGACGAUGUAGCGUACUGCUUUUUUCUGUGGGCGGCUUUGUGUAUGGACUCAACUGUACUAAUGUCACAUGAAUAUUUUUCAUCCUUUUUCGUGCUGAUGGUUCAAAUGUACUUUCUUCAUCAGACCUUGGGCACUUCUCAAUUUUCCCUGCUUCCCCAGAGGGACCAUCAGAACCAUCAUCCGUGUUGGUUCUUGGCGUAUGUGGCGGCGUAUGUGGCACAUCAUCAGAACCACCAUCCGUAUUGGUUCUUGACGAAUCAACUGGCACUUCUUCUGAUUUCGUGUUGGUUCUUGACUUAUCAACUGGUUCUUUUGAUUUUGGCUGACCUGUUAGCGUACAGUCAUCACCAGAAUUGUUGGUGCCACCAUCAAGAUUCAACUGGAACCCUGCAGAAUUACAGGGCUUAUUUUCCGGGUGAUGUAGGAGGAACAUUGCAAGACAUCAUCGGUACCAGGACACCUUUUUCUGCAUCAAUCAUAAUCGAGAGCGUUCCAAGAAGAGAAAUAUAUGAGAAAGCUGUGAUUGUGAAAUGAAAAAAUCAUCGAGAAAAGACAAAUGACUAACUGCAUUAAUUCUCAUGAUAGCUGCUUCAUCCCCAAAGUUCAAAAUGAACUGCAGCAUGUAAAUACCACAGUCACAUGCAUUCCUUUGCUGCGGAACACGUAUUUCAUGUAUUUCAUGUCCAGACUCACCAUGUUCAGUCUCACCAAACUCAAUAUCUUGAGAAGCAAGAUAUUGUUUGAGUGACCUCACCUGCAAGAAUACAACUUUCAAUCAUGGCAGCUCAAGAUUUAAUUAAAAGAAACAGCUUCAUUGCUGAGAAAAUAAUCUAACCAAAGUUCUUACCAGGACAUUCCUUGCACAGCCCGUUCGUAAGGAAUCCAAUAUAGAUAUCUUCUUUUGCGGAAGCUCUAGCACAGCCAAAAACCAAUGGUGGCCAUCAAGGAUUGGAAAAAAACAAACCAGGUUCCUGUUGGUCCUUGGAAUUUCCCUUCUGAGAUAACCUGUUCUGUUAUUAUUUCCCAACAAUUCAUCUUAGACAAAAAAAAAUAUGGUGAAAAUGGAGCAUGAGAAAGCAUAGUGGUACGUAUUCCAGAUAUAGAAAUGUAUGACAAAGCAUAUGGAAUUUACAACAGCAAGCUGAGAAAGCAUGAUCUUGAGGGGUUCUACAUCAGCACCCUUUUUGUCAUUGCAGUCCUUGUUCCACUUGUCAUUCCAGUCCUUGUUCCACAAAUAUGCAAUGGCAUCUACAAUAAAAUUUGAUAGCUUGCCAGUUGGUUUGAGGGAAUGUACAAAUCUAAACUCAUCUAAUCGGAAUCCUGAUAUGUCCAUUACAAGAGUGUUCUUCAUGUUUUGAAUGAUCUCACUGCCAUUGUCUUCCACAGAAAUCGACGCUUUAGAUACGAUACGUUCAACAUAAAACAUAUUUGUCUCUCGAACUUUUUCCUCAAGAGACAUUGCUUGAUUCACUGCCGAUGACUGGUAGGCCGUGAUCUCAUCGAGCUUCUUCUUCGUAAAGGACUGACAAUCCUUCAUUAAAGCAUCUAUCUCAUCUUCGACUUCUGGCACCUUACCCCUAGAUGCCUGUAGCAAAUGGUCCACUGAUGGAAGUUCGCCCUUGUCCUGUUCCGGUAAUAAUGAAAAAUGAUUGGCAACAGGCAACAAUACUUUUUAAUGGAUUUAUAUUGAUUUAUAUUACACUAAUAUGAAGCAUGGGGAUUCGUACUUACCCAGUGUUUGGCACCAUCACGCUUCUUGCCCUUGUCCUCCUUCUUGCCCUUCUGAGUGUUCACAGCUUGCUUUGUUACAUUGUCCUUGGAAACCAGAAAAACCACCAACGUAAACAUAAUAAUUUACAUUAUUCUGAUUCCAGUACAAGCAAAUUGACUGGUUACUUACAUUUGGAGCCCAUAAGGACUUGUCUACCGACUUUGACCUACUCAGCAGAUCCAGAAGUUUAUCUUUGGUGUAGUGCUUGAUUCUUGGAGUCUCUUGUUGUUCUUGAGGCAGGAUUAAAGUAUCCAAGUAGCAUAUCUAAAGAGCACAGUAUGUUAAACAUAAUCCAGGUAGCAUAUCUAAAGAGCACAGUCUGUUAAACAUAAAAUUAAUUGUUCGUAGAAGAAAUUCUUUUAAAGAACUUACAGCUAAGACAUAUGUGUAGCCCCAAGCGAUACUAUCCGUCUUUACAUGUGGUUUUUUCUCUUUCCUCUCUCUCCUUUUGAUGAUACCUUGCUUCAGGGCUUUGCAAAUGACCUUGGACCAAUUGAUAGCGGAUAUCUUGUCAAGGGCACCAUAUAAAACAUUUUCUCCAGUAAGGUUAGAGUCAGAAGUUGGCAUCAACAACUUGUUGAACAAAAUGUACAAGAAAACUUCGGCUUCCUUCUCCCUGUUUUGGUUGUUAACCCUGAUCCACGUCAAGUAUUUCUAGAGUAGAUCAAUCUUGAUCUGUUUUUUGAUCUUAGGCUCAUACUCGUUGCGACUGUAAUCAUAUCUUCUGGUAUUAUAUUCCAAGUGGAAUCCAGCUGCUUUGACCUCAGUGAACAUGGCCUGGAGAGCAGCACUCUUGUUACCAGAAACUGAGUCAGCCAAGUCGGUAGCAAAAGAUGUACCAAGGACUUUGUGAACAGCCUCUGGGUUGACCAGUACAUACUUUUCAGGGCUAACCCUUAAGAAAAAUGAAUAUUCAUCAGUCAAGGAGUUCUCAUCAUCAGGCAAGCUCCCCUCAUCAUAUCUAUCUGUAAGUGCCUUCGCCCCCGGUGCGGGUUUUGAUAAUUAAUGACAAUCAAAUUAGGAACUAACAUGUCUAUCAAGUGUAAUCUACAGGUGUUAGUUCAUUGAUGGAAACAAACAAACACAAUUGGUGAAUCACAGCACCCCCAAUUUGUCACCUUUUAAGCGACGUUUCAACUCAAGAAGCUACCUAGUUUUAUUUCUUGUUUGAGUUAUAGGAAACGCCGCACUAUCAAGAGGGAUGCAAAUUAAGUUGGUAAGAUGAGGAUAAAGGUGCUCAGGUCAACUUAGCUUUUGUGCUUAAGAGACACACUUGCACGCACGAACACCUUCAAAGUUUCUUCUCUGCCAGGGUCAGCCGGUAGUACCGGCCCUCAGGGCCGGUGGUACCGGCAGUGCUAGUUCUUCUCCUGAGUUUUGCGAGAAAAUGAACUACCGGUAGUACCGGGCUUUGACCGGUGGUACCGGUGAAACGCCGGUAGUACCGGCAGGCCAAAUUCUCGCAGAAUUGCUGAAUGCGGGAAUUUGUACUGCCGGUGGUACCGGCCUUCCACCGGUGGUACCGGCUCAAGGCCGGUAGUACCGGUAGGCCUUUUUUCUCGCAUCUUCCACAGCCUUCUCACGUUUAGAUCUGAGGACAUCGGUGGUACCGGUGGUUGCACCAGUAGUACCAGCAGGUGUUCUGUACUCUAGUAUAAAUAGCUCUCCUCUUUUCUAACCGUUGGCUUGCUCAUUCUAGCUACUCCACAUCUGAGAAAAUAGUCUCCAAGCUUUGUCUCACCCACUCUCUCUCCCUCUUGCUCCUAGAUUUCAUUUCUUGAGAGAUUCGAGCUAGAGAAGUGAGAUUAGAGAGUUGGGAGCUUCGAUCUGUGACUUGAGCACUCCGUUCCUCGUCUUGCCGGUUUGGUUUGUAUUUGUUACUCUUGGGUUCUUGGAACCCUAGCCGGCUUGGCGUUCUUCGUGGUUGCCCGUGUUGUUUCACUUGUGAGGGCACCCCGAAGUGUUUGUAUUACCCCCUUAUUCUUAGUGGAAUCAUCAAGCCAACCUUUGUGGUUGCUUGAGGAGGAGACCUAAGUGGUCAGACCUUCAUGGUCACCUCAACAACAGGGACGUAGGAACUCCUCAGUGGAGAUUGCCGAACCUCGGGAAAAAUACCUUGUCUUACUGUGGAGGUAGCUUCGACUACCCUUGUUUGUGUUCUUUGUGUUCCUCUCUCUUCCACUCUUCAACAGGUAAACAAAGGUCGAUCUACGUUGUGGAGAAGGACUAAGCUAAGGAGACUCCAACAACAUCCUCUCCUACACUUAGGAAAGUGGGGUAAAACUCAGAUCUGAAAUCUAAACUCUUUACACUCUGAUUUCGUAGCUAUCUUAGGGAGUCAGUAGUACCAGCAGUUUGCGUCGGUAGUACUGGCUGUGUGACACCAGUAGUACCGGCCCAAACUGUCGGUGGUACCGAUAGGCAUUUGACUUCCGCAACUUGAGUUUUGAGUUUCAGGUUUUUAGAUACGCCUAUUCACCCCCCCUCUAGGCCAAUUAGAUCCUUUCAAUUAGUAUCAAAGCAAGGUUCCUCGUUCAAACGCUUCACCACGUGAGGAGCAACAUUGGCCAAGAUGCAUCCAACAACUCAACAACAAAUCGUUGAGCAAAUCACAGCACAGAUCACAGCAUCCUUGCAGCUACAGCAGAAAGAGCAAAUGAAGAAGAUGCAAGAAGAGCUAGACAAAAUGAAAGAACUCCUAGGUAAAAGGAAUCAUGAGUCGGAUAGCGAAGGUGGAAAUGAUGAUGCUAGCAAGGUGUCAAAGACCUACAACAAAACUGGGUUUGAUUAUAGCAGUUCAAGCAAGAAUCCAACAUUGCCGAUGAUCAAUCCGGGAAAGCCACCUCCAUUUGUUGGUAUAAGGUACACCGAUUGGGGUCAUUGAAAGACUUUCACCUUAAUGCAACAGCUGCUACCUUGAUCCUGCAAUGUCUUACUCCGGAGGACAACAACAAAGUAAAUGGUAUGGUAAAUGCUAAGCAGAUUUGGGACACUUUGAAAGUGUCAUUUGAGGGAGACAAAAGUGUAAGAGUAGGAAACAUUGAGCUCUUACAAAGCAAGAUUGAGAACUUUUGCAUACUUGAGGGAGAAACAACAAAAGCCAUGUUUGAUAGAUUUAUGUCAUUGAUCAAUCAAAAUAGAGCACUUAGAGCAAAAACAUGGGAUGAUAACUCUGCAGCAAGAAAUAUUUGUAGAAUGUAUAGGCAAAGGAACAACAUGCUUGCAUCCGUCAUCAUGGAGAAAGACAACUAUCAUACUAUGACUCCUCAAGAAAUGCUAGCAAAGUUGAUGCACCAUGAAGUCUUGGAUGAUGAAGCCAAGGAAUCCCUAAAUCAAAGAAAGAACAUAGCACUCACAGCUUCACAUGGAAGUGAGUCAAGUCAUUGCAACAAAGGAUGUUGUGAGCAUAAGCACAAAGAUGAUGAUGAUCUUGAUGAAGAACAAGCUAUGCUAGUGGGAAACUACAAGAACUAUCUAAGAAUGAAGAAAGAUAAGAUGAGGAGAUAUGGAGGAAACAAGCCAUAUAGAAAGAGGUUUUGCUAUGAGUGUGGUGACACCGGCCAUCUUGCAGCUGAUUGUCCCAACAAAGGAAAGAAGUCAAGGUACAACAAGCAAAGUGUUGAUGCAAAACUUGAUCUGCAAACACAAAGGGCUAAUACCCGAUUCAAACGUUAAGGCGUGCCAGCCGAUUUGACCUUACUAUCGGCAAAGGUGAUAACUCGAAUACUUUGGUCCCAACAACAGCGAUGCGCCCGGAUGUCACGACCAAGAGGUAUUCACGCGGAACUCGAGAAUACGCCGAGCUUAAGUCGACGAAUUCCAAAGAACUCAUAAUAAAAAAGGAAAAGUAUGACGAAGUCGUCGAAAAAGUAGAUGCUGGAAUAUGAGUAAAAAUUUGUGUUUGAUUGAUUGAUAGAUUCCUCAUUACAAGGCCCUAGGGUCUACAUUUAUACCCUGCUCAAAGAGCUACAAUGAGACACGACUAGGACUCAAAUUCCAAUUCAAAACGAGUCCGUAUACAAAACGUCUUUAAAUAACUAAGGAAAACAUAAAACUAUCCUUUUGCAACCGACCAGGACACCACCAUGGAUCAAUCGGCAACUCCCGCGCUCCCCUCCAUAGUCAUCGGCAGAUUUCCUAUUAUGACCAUCGACAAACACCAAUACGGAUCAACGGUCUAAACAUGUCACCACCCUCUGGACUUAGUCACAUUCAAUUGCCUCUCUCAUCGGCAACCAUCUCCAUCAGCAAUCAUUCAUGUAGAUUAGUUACCGUUGCUCUGCCUGCCGAUCCGUACUUUGCUGACCCCCAGGUACGUGUCUAAAAACAGUGUCAACACAUGCCCCCCAGUUUCGGAGUAUAAAAUUAUUAAUGCUCCAAAAUUCUCUGCAGUAAUGACGCCUUUCCGCAAUUAACUCUCCCAAUUUGGCAACCGAUCGUUAAAGCCGAACAACCUUAGCCCGAUUUUCCUGCAGAUUCCUCGAAUUCCUCAACCUUCCAACCUGGACAUCCCCACUUUAUUCGCCCAUCGGCAAUAUUACCGUUAGCAAGAGCUGCCGAUGGACCGACCAGGAGAUCUUGCACAGUGAAAUAUCUCCAAAAUUACGACUGCUUGCUAUCAAAUCACCUGUGCAAUCCCUUGAUUAUCGUGCAAACAAUUACCAUAUCCACCUGAACACCCUUGGAUUUCACAGAUGUGGCAAAGAGAUAAGUUAGAUUUGCCCCUACCCGUUUCGUCCUAUAAAUACUUCCUUCUCGGAUACUCCUUCUCCAUCUUGUCAUUCUUUAGCCCAAAAUCUACUUUCUUGGCGGCGGCACCAUCCGAGAACUCCAAGAACUUCAUCGAAGGUUUUCUUCAUCAUUCCCCAAGUCUUCAACCUUCAUUCCUGCAAGGAGAUGGCCAUCAACUUCGUCGUUCCUGAGGUCAGCUUACUACUCUUUCUUCUGCACUUCUACUGUACUCCUGUUCAUCCGCAAUCUGUCUUACCGAAUCCUUUUUUCUUUUUGUUCUUCUUUUUACCCCCAAAAAUCUCUAGGAUUUUGCCGAUAAGAUCGUUAUUCCUACCGAUCAACCCCAUCUCCAAUGCCUUGGUCCACUAGGAAACUUAGAUCCCACCGAUCUUAUAAACGCAGAGGCAAACAGGAUCCCCUUUAGGGCCGAGAAUUUUUCUCUAGAUCAGUGGAAGGAUGCCUUCCGUUCCUGGCCCAAUCCUACCAAGGGAUGGAAGGACUGGUUCCUGAGAGUCAGUAACUCAAAUGAAGUCCAAUGGGGCAAACGAAAAUUAGAUCAAUGCAUUAGAUUGUCUCUUGCCUAUAUGGAGAGAAAUAAGUCACUACUGAUAGCUGCCUCAUACUUUUGGUCAGACACACUCAAUGUUUUUAUGUUUGGCCAUGGUCCUGCUUCCCCCACACUCACCGAUGUACUUAUGCUCACCGGCUUAGAUGUAUCUACUGCCGAUAGCACCCACCUAUUUGACACCAAACCCAGUGCUAAGGUAGAAACUCGUUCCAUCGGCGGUUGGUUAGGGUUCAUCCGGAAAUACCGAAGAACAGGCCCUGUCAACAUAAAGGAACAGACCACCUUUGUGAACAUGUGGCUGGAUAAAUUUGUAUUCUGUGGCCGAUCGGCAGGACCAACUUCUGUUUACUUGUCGGUAGCAGAAAGAUUAGCCAAUGGUGGCCGAUUUCCUCUCGGCCGAUACCUACUCGGCUCCGCUUAUCACCUCCUCCACCAGGUAGCCCAGAAACUGCUGCUUGGUCAACCUAUCAGCAACUUAGGGGGUCUCUCGUGGUUCAUCAAUAUGUGGCUUAGUCUCCACAUGCACAAGCGCCUUGAGUUCGACCUCUUUGCACAGCGCUUUCCCAGGGAUAUAGCCAAGGAUUAUGAACUGGAUGAAGAAGAAUCGGCAACUCGUUCCUCUCUAAACUUUGGCGAAGCCGCCAUAGUUCUGCCUGGCACAGGUGGUAAUGCAGACUAGGUUAGCCGAUUCUUUCAAACUUUGUAUGAAGGUCUGACCAGAGAACAGCGGGCAUGGAUGCCUUAUGAAGAUCCAGACACCAGAUUCCCCCUGACUUUCCACCCCUUCAACGAUGCUCUCAACAAGGAUCGUGAGGUGAUGAUGGCAAUUAUCACUCCAAGAGCUAUACCAGUGAACUUCUUUGGCAGUGGGAAAGCCUCCAAUCUGACUUAUGAGUUUUACAACCCAUCGGCACUAGCUCGCCAAAUGGCUUUCGGCCAACUGCCGAUUGCACUCUGUUACGCCGAUGUGAUAAAGCCGAGGGAGAUCAUCACCAACCAUAUGGAAUGGAUCAGGGUGGCCCAACUUCUACCAAAUGCUGAUACAGAUGUUGAUCUAUCGGCUUGGAUCCCAGCCCUCUUCAUUACUCAGUCAUACAAACAGUGGUGGGAAGAAUGGAAGGAGCACCUAUUCUGCAGAUCGGCUCUAUCGUGGCAUGAUCGACUCCCAAUACAAAGUCCCCGAUAAUGCUGUAAGUACUUUUAAACUUAAUGCUUCAAUCCUUUCACUCUCAUUCCCAUCGGUAACUCACUUUUUGUGUUGUAUACAGGUUGAUGAUACGCCACCACUAGUCAGCAGGAGCGGCAGGCCGAUUAAACUCCUUCCAUCGGGCCCAACUUCUUUGAUCGGCAACAACGCUCCAACCCUGGCUGCUAUAAUGCAUCGGGGUGUUCGUCUCAAGAAAGUCACCACCAAGCGGAUGAGAACAUCCCCAUCGGUAGCUGCCACUGCCCUGGCACAAGCCUUCAAGGUAAAUCCUCGAACCCUUCAUUGGUAAUUUCUGUUAUUUUAAUCAAAACUUUGACACCUUGUUACACUUGUAUUUACUCUAAUUGUUGUAUCAGCACACUGGCACAUCGGCAAAGACCAGAAGCAUGACUGCCGAUGCCCCCCAGUCCAGCCAACCGAAGAGAAAAGGUCCCAAGAGUACCAGACCGCAAGCGAAGCGCCAGAGAAUAGCAACACCUCCCCCUCCUCCAAGGUCACCGAUCCCAGUGGAAUCGUCUCCCUCUUCUCCAGAAGCCCAGACACAACAAGUACCAUCUCCUCAGCCACAGGAAGAACCCCAAACAGAAGAGCCUCAGCCAGAGGAAACAUCGGCUGACGUACACGAGCAGACCGCCGAUCCAACAGGCUUAAUCAUAGCAUUGGUAGUCUCCUCUAUUCAGACCAGCACUGCACCUCCUCAAGGUAACAUACUUUCUAUUUAAUGCCGAUGAACCUACUUUUCCACUUUAUAAUUACCUUUGUUAAUCUCUCAGCUGACAUAGUUUCAUCGGCAGUUCUAGCCGAUCAGCCUGUGGUUCCAUCGGCCUCGUCUAGUCAGAGGUGAGAAAUAGCUCUGAAACAAGUAAGUUACCCGGUCUCUAAUUUUAUUGCUAUCAGUACUUGAUCAUAAAAAUAACUUAUUUUAUCUUCCUUUUCAGGAACAAGACUCUCCUGACAGCUUGUUGUCCUUCGCCAUUGAAAUCUCCGAGGAUGAAGGCGAGGAAGCAAGUUCCUCUCGAGCAGUUGGAAUCACAUCGGCAGAGAUUAGAGCAAAGUUGGAAGAUCUGUUAGCCCUGCUUCAUCAAGAUACAGCGCAGUUGGUCGAUGACUCUGACCCAGCCAAAGCUCUGUUCAAGGCUCUCAGAGGUCAAAUCCCUGCCGAUGCCGAGGAGAUUCUUUUUCAGGCUGCACACUAAGAGAGUCGUCAACUGCAAUAUCAAAAGGCUGCCCAGCGCCUUGCCGAUAGAGCCGCUCACACUCAGCUCUCAGAGGAAAUGAUGAAAGUGAAACUCCUUGCCGAUGAGAAACAUAAGAGCAUCGGCAUUCUGAAAUCCUCAGGAGACAUUCUGAAGCAAAAGAUCUCUGAUCUAUCGGCAAAGAGAGAUGCCCUGUUGGCAGAACUUAAAUAGGUGGAAGAAACUCUGUCCCAAGCUCAACAGGAAGAAAGCCAGAUGCCCAAGAUGAUCAAGACCCUUGAACAAGAGCGGAACACCUAAGCUCGCAAGGCGCUGCAGAUGAAGAAGAAACUGAAGCCAGUAGAGGGGUCUGCCGAUGAAGACAUGAAAGAGAUAGAAGAGGCCAACCAGAUUCGUCUGCGCGCCAUAUCAACGAUCCAGGCUCUACUGAACACAUGAAUUCUUCAUCGGCGGCACGCCCUGCUCUUCUCUUUUAAAUACUCCUGAUUAUUUUGGUCCAGCCGAUAGGACUGUUAUCGGCACCCUUUUAAAACACUAAGCCCGGCCCCAGAUACAGUUUCAUCUAGCCGAUAGGAAUGUUAUCGGCACUUAAACUUUUCAUGCAUCGACCCAUAUGCUUGGGUAAUAUUUCUUUAGAUAUUUGCCAUUUAAUGCCCUGGGAAAUACAACCCCUUCGAGAGUUUCUAGAAAAUAGGCAUUGCCAGCAGCAGAUCGAUUUAUCUGAUAGGGACCUUCCCAAUUAGGAGACCACUUCCCAAAUUUUGAACUUUUAGUCCCGAUCGGUAAGAUCAACUUCCAUACUAAAUCCCCAUCGGCAAACUCCUUAGCUUUAACUUUCUUAUCAUACCAUCUGGCAAUUCUUUUCUUAUUUUCUUCUAUGCCUACCAAAGCCCUUAGCCGAUGCUCUGCUAAAUCAUCCAACUCGUCUUUUAUCAAAGUAGCAUAGUCAUCGGCAGCCAAUUGGUCCUGAAAAGAUAAUCGCCUAGAUCCAGUCUUAAUUUCCCAAGGUAGCACUGCAUCAUGUCCAUACACCAAUUGAUAAGGUGAAACUUUGGUCGACCCAUGACAAGCCAUCCGAUAUGACCAUAAAGCUUCAUUCAACAAUGUAUGCCACCUUCUAGGAUUUUCCUCAAUCUUUCGUUUAAUGAGUUUGAUAAUUCCUUUGUUAGAUGCCUUGGCCUGCCUAUUAGCUUGAGCAUAAUAAGGAGAAGAAUUCAACACCUUAAUUCCCAUACCGAUUGCAAACUUGUCAAACUCCCCCGAUGUAAACAUAGUACCUUGAUCGGUAGUAACUGUUUGAGGAAUACCAAAUCGGUAAAUAAUAUGCUCUUUCACAAAAUCAAUCAUGUUGGCCGAUGUGACUUUCUUCAAAGGAAUAGCUUCAACCCACUUUGUGAAAUAAUCAGUGGCAACCAAGAUGAAUUUAUGCCCUUUACUUGAUGGCGGGUAAAUCUGGCCGAUUAGAUCAAUAGCCCAUCCCCGGAACGGCCAAGGUUUAAUGAUGGGAUUCAUGGCCGAUGCGGGCGCUCUUUGAAUAUUGCCAAACUUCUGACAUCCUUGACACCCUUUGAAAUAUUUGAAACAAUCCUCAAGUAUGGUCGGCCAAUAAUACCCAUCCCGCCUAAUCAUCCACUUCAUCUUGAAAGCUGACUGAUGCGCUCCACACACUCCUUCAUGGAUUUCUCCUAUCAAACUUUUAGCUUCAUCAUCACCCAAGCAUUUGAGAAGAACCCCAUCAAUUGUUCGAUAAUAUAGUUCAUCUUCAAGGAGCACAUACUUGGUAUCUUAAACCAAACACGUCUCUCAACUCUCUUGGAUGGAUCCUUUAAAUAAUCAACGAUUUCUUUUCUCCAAUCAUCGGCACUGAUUGCCGAUAUUGUAUUUAAUAUGGGCUGAUAUCCCGAGGCAUGCUGAGCCAACAGAUUAGCCUCUUCAUUGUGCAAUCGAGGAACAUGCUCUAAUCGGAAAUCUUUGAAUUCCUUUAAUAGUUGCAUACUUUUUUCAUAAUAAGUUAUCAAAACUUCACUUCGGCAUUCAUAGCUUCCAGCCAAUUGAUUUAUAACCAGCAUAGAAUCCCCAAAGACUUUAACAGCAUCAGCAUGGACUUCUCUUAACAAUUCCAAACCCUUUAUCAAAGCUUGAUACUCGGCUUGAUUAUUCGUUGACGUAGCAACAAUGGGCAAAGAGAACUCAUACUUCCUUUCCUGAGGGGAAACUAAUACUAUACCGAUUCCUGCCCCCGGUCACACGUGGAUCCAUCAAAGAAGAGCGUCCAAGGCACAAUUUCCAAAGUUUCUACUGUACCGCAAUGUUGAGUCACAAAAUCGGCCAUAAUCUAUCCUUUAACUGCUUUAGCCGAUUCGUAACGCAGAUCAAAUUCCGACAAUGCUAAAAUCCACUUACCGAUCCUGCCGCUCAUGAUCGGCAUAGAUAGCAUAUACCGGACCACAUCAUCUUUACAUAUAACAGUGCAUUCGGCCGAUAGCAAAUAGUGCCUCAAUUUAAUGCAGGAGAAAUAUAGGCAUAAACAUAAUUUUUCAAUGGCCGAAUACCUGGUCUCAGCAUCAAUCAACCUUCUGCUCAAAUAAUAAAUCACACGUUCCUUCCCUUCAAAUUCUUGAAUUAAGGCCGAACCGAUGACCAUCCCAUCGGUAGAUAGAUAUAAUGUGAAGGGCUUCCCUUGCUGAGGUGGAACCAAAACUGGAGGAUUUACCAAGUAACUCUUGAUUUCAUCUAGAGCCAACUGUUGCUCUUUCCCCCCAUAUAAACUCUUCAUCGGCUUUCAAUUUAAGCAAAGGACUGAAAACACGAAUUUUACCAGACAAAUUAGAUAUAAACCGCCUGAUAAAAUUUACCUUGCCGAUCAAGGAUUGGAGUUCAGUCUUGUUAGUAGGGGCAACAAUUUUGUUGAUAGCAUCAAUAGAUCGUCUACUAAUUUCAAUUCCCCUCUAAUGCACCAUGAAACCAAGAAACUGUCCUGCCGAUACACCAAAUGCACACUUAUUGGGAUUCAUAUUUAAACCAUGUUUUCUCAUGCAUUCCAACACCUUUCGCAAAUCGGCAAGAUGCUUCGUGAAAUCCCCAGAUUUAACCACCACAUCAUCAAUAUAAAUCUCCACCAGCUUGCUGAUGAACUCAUGGAAGAUAAAAUUCAUGGCCCUCUGAUAAGUAGCACCACCAUUUUUCAAGCCAAAGGUCAUGACUAUCCAUUCAAACAACCCAACAUGACCAGGACAUCUAAAUGCAGUCUUUGGAAUAUCCUCUUCAGCCAUGAAUAUUUGAUUGUAUCCUGCAUUACCAUCCAUAAAGCUGAUGAUCCGAUGUCCAGCCGUAGCAUCAACUAGUAGAUCGGCAACAGGCAUUGGGUACCCAUCCAUCGGCGUAGCUUUAUUAAGAUUCCUGAAAUCAAUGCAAACCCAAAGCUUCCCAUUUUUCUUGUAAACUGGAACAACAUUAGAAAUCCAUUUGGCUUACCGACAUUGCCGAAUAAAUUUAGCUUCGAUGAGUUUGGUUAUUUCGGCCUUAAUGUCAAGAAGAAUAUUAGGAUUACAUCGGCGAGCUGGCUGCUGAUGUGGCUGAAAUCCAGACUUGAUGGGUAACCAAUGUUCAACAAUCGAUCGGUCUAAACCUGGCAUCUCAGUAUAAUCCCAAGCAAAGCAAUCUUUAUAUUCCUUUAACAAAUCGGUUAACUGCUGCUUACACUCAGAAUUUAACUUCGCACUAAUAAUGGUAGGCCUAGGCUUGUCACCACUACCUAUAUCUACCUCUACUAAAUCAUCGGCCGAUGUGAAUCCUUGGCCUAAUUUUCCAUCAUCGGCGAAUCUAUCCAUUAAAACUCCUCAUCAGAACCGACUGCUUGGAUCGGUGGAAUUUCAUAAUCGGCAACUUUGAGGAAAUCCUUCUCCCAAAUUUCUCCUGAGAUGCACCUAGUUCUUUCAUAGGUGUCUGCUUCUCCCGAUGCAAUGACAUAAGAAGAAUCUCCUAGGACAAUCUAAAUUUUAUCACCUACCCAGUGAACCAAGCAUUGGUACAUUGUCGAUGGUAUGCAACAAUUGGCAUGGAUCCAAUCUCUCCCUAGCAGCAAAUUAUAAGCACCUUUUCCACUGAUCACAAAAAAAGGUUGUCGGCAAGGUUUUGCUGCCGAUGGUCAACUCGACACAGAUUGCCCCCUUAACCGGAGACACAUUUCCUUCAAAGUCUUUUAGCAUCAUAUUGGUUUUGGUCAGAUCUUGAUCUCCUUUUCCAAGCUUCCGAUAGACUGCAUAUGGCAUGAUGUUGAUAGCAGCUCCACCAUCAAUUAAUAUUUUGGUCAUCGGCUGACCAUCAACUCUUCCUUUGACAAACAGAGCUUUAAGAUGCUGCCUUUCAUUAUCGGCAUGUUUUUCAAAGAUAGCUGUCAUCGGAUCCAGAGCCAACUGAGCUAUUUGGUCGGAAAACUCCAACUCCUCAUCAUCACUGGAUGGCGCAAGGAAUUCCAUCAGCAACAUGAAUACCAUGUUGAAAUCUGCCGAUGGUCCCUUUCCCUUUGGAUCUAGUUGUUGCUGAUCCCCAGGUUAGCCAAAGUUCUCGCCCUUUUUUAGCUCUUCUCGUCUUUCGCGCUGCAGUCUCCUUUUCUGUGUCUUAGUCAACCCUUCUGGACACCAUGGGGGAAGUGGUGACUGCCUUGCUGAUGGACGACGAUGUUCCCUUGACUCCAUCUGAUAAGUAUUAGCGUCCCUGCAAAACAUAAACUCAUUGGGAACCCGAGCAUUUGCCAUCUCUUCAAGCUCUUCUUGGUUCCUAGGAAAAUAUUGAACACGAUCACCAAGCCUAUCGUGUACACUGAGUCUGCCCCCCAGCCGAUCAUGAAUUGACGCUCUCCCCCUAAUCGGCCCAUUAAACCUCCGAUCAUCAUCGUGAUAGCGCCGAUCGGAUCUGUCAUACCGAUCAUAGCCAUUGCAUUCGGGGCAGUCUCUAACAGUAGGCAACUUGAUGUUCUGUUCCCAGCAAUGGAUAAAGAAUGGGCAGUUCCAGUGAUCUUUGUGCCGAUCCUACUCCCGUCGGCGUCUUUCUUCUUCCCGAUGAUAAUCUUCUUGCUGGCGCCGAUACCAAUCUUCACGUUGCUGCCAAGUUUCCCGAGGCCUCCUAUGAGUUAUCACAAUGCCGGAUCGGGGAGGCCUCCCUGAGCUAUUUCCUCCUGGAUCAAACCCUUUCCUUUGGCAUUGGCAGCAGUAAUUUGAUGCUGAGGAUCUACCGAUGCACUCUUUUCAGCUGCUUCAGAUGUCAAAACCUUGGUCUUUCCCUUAGCAUCCAACAUAUUUGUUGGGAAAGGAUGUUGAUCAAUCUUCAUCGACUUCUGAGCUUUAGAACUAUCAAACUUUAUUCUCUCAGAUUCUAUAGCCGAUUGCAGCUGUUGCCUGAAAACUUUGCACUCAUUGGUGCUGUGAGAAAUCGCAUUGUGCCACUUGCAAUAUUUCAUCUUCUUCAAUUCCUCAGCCGAUGGAAUCACAUGAUUGGGUGACAACUUGAUUUGACCUUCCUGAAGUAAAAAGUCAAAUAUCCUAUCGGCUUUGGUGACGUCAAAUGCGAACUUUUUUGGCUCCUUAUGUCCAAAAGGGCAAGACAUCAGCUUCUUAUUUUUCACCCAUUCUGCCAAACCGAUGACUGGCUCCUCAUCAGAAUCCGAGCUUGUUGCUUCAUCAACAAAUGACACCUUUUUAUUCCAUGCCCUCUUGGGCUCAAAAGGUCUGACAUCUUGAUCAGAAAUUCUCUGCACCAAGUGACUUAAGCUUUCGAACUCUUGAGAAGCAUAUUUGUCCCUGAUGUGCGGCAAUAGACCCUGGAAAGCCAAAUCGGCUAGCUGCCGAUCGUCCAAAACCAGACUAUAGCAUUUGUUCUUGACCUCCCGCAUUCUCUGCACAAAACUUUCAACUGAUUCAUCAUUGCAUUGCUUUAAUUUGACCAAAUCGGUGAUCUUCUUUUCAUAGAUUCUAGAAAAGAAGUACUUGUGGAAUUGCUUCUCUAGAUCGGCCCAAGUAAUCACUGAGUUGGGAGGCAACGAUAUAAACCAAGUGAAUGCCGAUCCAGACAAUGAUGACGAGAACAAACGAACCCUUAACUCGUCCCUGUUAGCAGCUUCUCCACAUUGGAUGAUGAAUCUGUUGACAUGUUCCUUGGUUGAUGUAUCAUCCUGUCCAGAAAACUUAGUGAAAUCUGGCACCUUGUACCGAUUUGGAAGUGGAAUUAAAUCAUAUGCAGGAGGAUAUGGUGUCCUAUAAGAGUAAGUGUUGUCUUUGGGUUUUAUCCCAAAUUGGUCUCUCAUUACUUCAGCAAUCUUGUCGGCCCAAUAAGCGUCGGCAUCCUGCCGAUGGGGUGGUUGUGGAUCUGGCACCUGCUGAUAGGCUUCCACGUGUCUAUGCGGUGCGCGAUCUGCAUGGAACAUUGGGUUAAUCUGCUGACCACCAAUCUAUUGACCACCAAUCUGCUGGCCAAGAUUCAUUGGCUGGUUGGCCAACCCUUGAUUCUGGAACCCAGGUUGGAUCUGGCCCUGUUGAAACCCUGGAACUUGAUGAUUCUGUUGAAGCAUCUGUGGAAAGACUGAUUGCCCUGUCCAUGCAUUGUUUGGAUUCAUCGGCAUAAACCCUGCCAAUGACUGGUAAUUGGGCAUCAUCAUUGAAUUGACAUACCCUGGCUGAGUCAUAAACCUCUGCUGCAUCGGCAUUGAUUCUGCCGAUGCGUUAGGCAUCUGGAACGUUGGAGCUUGAGAAUUCCCAGUAUAAGGUCUUGCAGUAGUAGUUGUAGUAUACUAGGGACUCUGAUUCAGCGGCAUAUUUGGAGGUGCCGAUGCCAUAGGAGCCUUGCCUCUCACAUCAGCCGUUUGAGAUAUGCCAGGCGUCUUCAACAUGAACUCUGGGGGCAUACCAAAACCCCACCAGUUAGGAGGAACAGAUCCCGACAUUGCUGAUGCCAAUAGAUCUGUGGCUAGCUUGGUUGACUCAUCUGAUGUUGAUGUAUUGGCCGGCAUUGGUGUGGAUUGUGUAUUAGUGACUCCUAACAUGCCUGGAGGAACGACAGUUUCUGUACCCGCAGCGGUUGUAGCAACCGAUGGAGCUGUGACCACCAGUGAUCCUGGCUGAUGAUGAGAAGGACCCACAUAAUUUGAUGGCAAUUGUCCUUCUUUGAAAGUUCUAGCCACGACAUUGAAAACCGUAUUGGACAGCACACCAGCUUGAUUGAUCAAGGCACGGUUAAUAUCACUAUCAACCAUGUCUUGAAGUUUACCAGGAUUGGCUUCAAAAGUAACCUACCGAGGUGCCGGCAGAGCUUCCUUCUGGAUUACCUCGCCACUCCUGUUGAUGCUGAAGGAUUUCAAACAUUGCUGCUUGUAGUCUUCCAUGGCUUUUGCAAUAGCCUGUUUUUGCUCAUCUCUGAGAUUGGCUUCUGUCACGGGGAUGACGUUCUCCAAGUCGAACUCAGAAGUCGCCAUGUCGAUCUUGAUCUUGAUUUCAUCCCACUGGGCAUGCCAAAAGAUGUGUUGAUGCAAAACUUGAUCUACAAACACAAAGGGCUAAUACCCGAUUCAAACGUUAAGGCGUGCCAGCCGAUUUGACCUUACUAUCGGCAAAGGUGAUAACUCGAAUACUUUGGUCCCGACAACAGCGAUGCGCCCGGAUGUCACGGCCAAGAGGUAUUUACGCGGAACUCGAGAAUACGCCAAGCUUAAGUCGACGAAUUCCAAAGAACUCGUAAUAAAAAAGGAAAAGUAUGACGAAGUCGUCGAAAAAGUAGAUGCUGGAAUAUGAGUAAAAAUUUGUGUUUGAUUGAUUGAUAGAUUCCUCAUUACAAGGCCCUAGGGUCUACAUUUAUACCCUGCUCAAAGACCUACAAUCCGACAUGACUAGGACUCAAAUUCCAAUUCAAACGGAGUCCGUAUACAAAACGUCUUUAAAUAACUAAGGAAAACAUAAAACUAUCCUUUUGCAACCGACCAGGAUACCACCAUAGAUCAAUCGGCAACUCCCGCGCUCCCCUCCAUAUUCAUCGGUAGAUUUCCUAUUAUGACCAUCGACAAACACCAAUACGGAUCAUCAGUAUAAACAUGUCACCACCCUCUGGACUUAGUCACAUUCAAUUGCCUCUCUCAUCGGCAACCAUCUCCAUCGGCAAUCAUUCCUGCAGAUUAGUUACCGUUGCUCCGCCUGCCGAUCUGUACUUUGCUGACCCCCAGGUACGUGUCUAAAAACGGUGUCAACACAAAGUGACAAGAAGUACAAGGACAAGAAGAAAGGGGAAGCUCACCUCGGGCAAGAAUGGCAAUCGGACAGUGACAGUGAUGAUGAUGACAAUGAGAAGAAGAGUAUAGCUACCAUCGCCGUAUAAGAAAGAUCCUCCCCAACCAAAAUCUUCACCAACAUUGCCUCAUCUACGGCACUCAUCUCCGACACCCACUCAUCGCCUAGGCUCUUCGCUAAUCUCUCUGAUGACGAUGAUGACACUCCUACAUGCCUUAUGGCAAAAGGAGACAAGGUACAAACUGACUCCCCUCCUCAAACCACUAGUGACUAUGAUAGUGAUUAUGAACAUGAUGAAAACUAUGCUAAUAAUCUCAUUAAGAAAUAUGGUAAAGCUGCUGCAACUAAAAUUCUAAAGCUAAUAUACGCUAAUGACAAGCUUGAGUCAUGCAUCGAGUCGCAAGGCGAAUUGUUCCUAGAGGAAAGGGAGAAGAACCAAGGGCUCGAAGUAUGUCUCUCCAAGGAAAAGGAGAGGGUUGAGAAAUUGGGUGUAGAAUUGUCUCUAGUCAAAGACUCCAAUGAGCGAUUGACUAAGGAACAUUCCUCACUCAAUGGCUCUUUGGCUAGCCUAAAGAAUGAUCAUAGUUUGGCUCAAGAAAGCCUCACAAGCUUGACAACAAAAUAUCAUAAGCUUGAACUAAACUAUGAAAAGCUUUGGUCUAGCACCUCUACCGCUUCCAAGGAUUCAAAGGCUUCUACAAGUAAAAGCUGUGAAAGAUGCAUAUAUGUUGACAUAAAUGCAUGUCUCACUAACCUUGAUGAGUUAGCCAAGAAGGACAAAGAAAUUCAAAGACUGAACACUAUCAUCAAGAUUGGUUGCAAGUGCAAGGACAAGCAGCCGGUAAAUGUGUUCAAGGCAUCAAGGCACCCCAUAAUCAAGGAUGGCCUUGGAUACAAUCGGUACAAUGGUAAGGCCAAUGGGAGAAACAUGAUAAAUGGAGUGGCUUGUGUGAAGUUCAACAAGAGUGUGCCUCUUGUUGACCUUAUUGACAAGGUGAACAAUGUUGCCACUCCUACAAUCCAACUUACAAACAACAAGAACUUCAAGAAGAAGCAAGGAGAAGUGCCCAAGCAACAAGCGCCUAUCUCACGCAAUCAUAUUUGUGAUUACAUGUGUUGUUGGGAUAAGGAUGGCAAGAUUGUUGUGAAAUAUAUGGGCGCCCUCAAGAAGAGAUAAAUCUUGAGGAGUGUUUGGGUGCCCAAAUCUUAUGUGUCUAACCCCCUAGGUUCCAACUCGGGACCUAAAACAAAGGCUUAAUCUUAUCUUGUAGGUUUAUUCCUCCGGUGGGCCAAGUUGGGUGCUUGAUAGUGGAUGCACCAAUCACAUGACCGGAGAGAAGAACAUGUUCACCUCCUUUCAACCAAGUCAAAUCACAAGUGAAAGGAUUGUCUUUGGUGACAAUAGUAAAGGAGAUAUCCUUGGUUUAGGUAAAAUUGAAAUUUCAAAUGAUAAUUCCAUUUUGAAUGUUUUGCUUGUGGAUUCGUUGGGAUACAAUUUGUUAUCCGUCUCACAACUUUGUGAGAAGGGUUACAAUUGUCUCUUUACGGAUAAGGGUGUGGAAGUCUCUAGAAGGUCGGAUUCCUCUAUUGCUUUUAUGGGUCAACUAAAGGGCAAGCUCUAUCUAGUUGAUUUUUCAGCUAGUAGAGUGGGGUCCGAGACUUGUUUAGUGGCAAAAUCUAGCAUGGGCUGGCUGUGGCAUCGCCGUCUAGCCCAUGUUGGGAUGAGGAACUUGGCCGAUCUUCAAAGAGGUGAACACAUCCUUGGACUAAUGAAUGUUUCUUUUCAGAAAGACAGAAUUUGCAGUGCAUGUCAAGCGAGAAAACAAGUUGGAGCUAAGCAUCCCGCGAAGAACAUUGUGACUACAUCAAGACCACUUGAGCUUCUUCACAUGGAUUUAUUCAGACCCAAUGCUUACAUAAGCAUUGGAGGUAACAAAUAUGGUUUUGUAAUUGUUGAUGACUUUUCUCGCUUCACUUGGGUAUUCUUUUUAAAGGACAAGAGUGAGACUCAAGGGAUCUUCAAGAAGUUUGCAAGAAGUGCUCAAAAUGAGUUUGAAGUGAAGAUCAAGAAAGUGAGAAGCGAUAACGGGACCGAAUUUAGAAAUACCAACAUUGAAGCAUACCUUGAUGAAGAAGGCAUCAAGCAUGAGAUCUCGGUUGCAUAUACUCCACAGCAAAACGGUGUGGUGGAAAGGAAUAACCGAACACUCAUUGAAGCCGCAAGAGCAAUGUUGGAUGAAUACAAGAUCUCCGAAAAGGAUUAUUGGGCGCGUUAACACUUCAUGUCACGCAAUCAACCGCUUAUACCUCCUCAAGUUGAGGAAGAAAACUGCCUACGAGCUUCUAGCCGGUAAAAAGCCUAAGGUGGAUUACUUUAGAGUUUUUGGAUGCAAGUGUUUCAUACUUAAUAAAAGAUCCAAAAGCUCUAAGUUCUCACCGAAGGUUGAUGAAGGGUUCUUACUUGGUUAUGCUACUAAUCAACAUGGCUAUCGUGUUUUCAAUGAGACUACCGGUCAAAUUGAAAUAGCGGUAGACAUGACUUUUGAUGAAAGCGACGGCUCCCAAAAGGAGCAAGUCAAUGCUGAAAUUCUAGGUAAAGAAGAGCCAUCUCGCCAAGUAGUCAAAAAGCUUGCUACCGGUGAAGUGAAACCCAUUGAAGAAGAAGAAGAUGAUGCACACAUGCAAAUUUCUCAUGACCCAAACUUGCAUCAUGGGUCAACCAAUGCCCAUGAUGAUGCUUCCACAUCAAGAAGAAGUCAUGACUCAAGAGAACAAGUUGGACAAGAUCCACCUCUAGCACAAGAACCAAACCAAGAUGGAGAUCAAAACGUUCAAGAUCUAGAUUUUCAAAUCAACCAAGACCAUGAAGACGAAGAUGAUGGUCCCAUUCAAACAAGAACAGCAGUGCGUCACCCAAGAGUUCAUCACUCUAUUCAACGGGAUCAUCCCGUUGAUAGCAUUUUGGGAGACAUACAACGAGGGGUAACAACACGCUCUCGUUUAGUUGGUUUUUGUGAACAUUACUCUUUUGUCUCCUCUAUGUUGCCAAAUAGGGUGGAAGAUGCCUUGGCGGAUCCAGAUUGGGUGAUGGCUAUGAAAGAAGAGUUGAACAACUUCACUAGGAAUGAAGUCUGGUCCUUGGUGGAAAGACCCAAGAAAAAUGUGAUAGGUACCAAAUGGGUCUUCCGCAACAAAGAAGAUGAGUAUGGCAUGGUCACUAGAAACAAGGCUCGGUUGGUUGCCAAAGGUUUAACUCAAAUUGAAGGUUUGGACUUUGGGGAGACUUAUGCACCUGUAGCUAGGCUUGAAUCUAUUCGCAUAUUACUUGCCUUUGCUGCUCACCAUGAUUUCAAGUUGUUUCAAAUGGACGUGAAAAGUGCAUUCCUCAAUGGCCCCCUAUCCGAGACCGUGUAUGUGGAGCAACCGCCGGGUUUUGAAGAUCCACAUCAUCAUGAUCAUGUCUACAAGCUGGACAAGGCACUCUAUGGGCUUAAGCAAGCCCCUAGAGCUUGGUAUGAUUGUCUCAAGGAUUUUCUACUCAAACAAGGGUUUGAGAUUGGAAAAGCCGAUCCCACUUUAUUUACUCGCAAAGUCAAUAAUGAUAUUUUUAUAUGCCAGAUAUAUGUCGAUGACAUUAUAUUUGGUAGUACUAAUGCGGACUUCAGUGAGGAAUUUAGUAGGAUCAUGACAAAAAGGUUCGAGAUGUCCAUGAUGGGGGAGUUGACGUACUUCCUUAGAUUUCAAAUCAAGCAACUCAAGGACGGCACGUUCAUAAGUCAAACCAAGUACACCACCGACAUGCUAAAGAAGUUUGACAUGGACAAGGCUAAACCCAUAAAGACACCAAUGCCAACAACCGGACACCUUGAUCUUGAUGGAGACGGCAAGGCCAUUGAUCAAAAGGUAUAUCGCUCCAUGAUUGGAUCUUUGCUUUACCUUUAUGCAUCAAGGCCUGAUAUUAUGCUUAGUGUGUCCAUGUGUGCAAGAUUUCAAGCUAAUCCGAAAGAAUGCCAUCUUAUGGCUGUUAAGAGAAUUUUUCGGUAUCUUGUGUUCACUCCUAAUCUUGGCUUAUGGUACCCAAAGGGCUCCACUUUCACUCUACUUGGCUAUUCUGAUUCGGACUAUGCCGGUUGUAGGGUAGAGCGAAAGAGUACAUCAGGGACUUGCCAAUUUCUUAGUAGGUAUUUGGUGUCCUGGAGUUCUAAGAAACAAAACUCCAUUGCCCUUUCCACCGCUGAAGCCGAGUAUGUGGCGGCCGGCACCUGCUGUGCCCAGCUGCUUUGGAUGAAGCAAACCUUGAGAGACUUUGGUUGUGAGCAAAGCAAGAUUCCCCUCUUAUGUGACAAUGAGGGGGCAAUCAAGCUUGCUGAUAACCCCGUCAACCACUCCAGAACAAAGCACAUAGACAUUCGCCAUCACUUCCUGAGAGACCACCAAUCCAAAGGAGAUAUCGCUGUGCAACAUGUGAGAACCGAAUUUCAGUUAGCCAAUAUCUUCACUAAACCUCUAGAUGAGUCAAGAUUUUGUGCUUUGAGGCGUGAACUAAAUUUUGUUGAUUCUCAUAAGAUGGCUUGAUGUCUUGCACAUACUUGAUUGAUUAGAAAGGUCAAAACUUUAUAAAAAAAAUUGAGUGCUAUUUUCAAAAUCUAUUUUUCACAUCUCAAGCAUGACCAUUGUUUUGUAAUGAUUUGAUGAAAUCUGGACAUGUUUGAUUUGUUUCUAAGAUUGCCACACUAAGUUCGCCUCUGCGCUGAUUCCCUGUUCUACCGGUGGUACCGGCGCCCUGCCCCGGUGGUACCGGCUCUUGCCGGUGGUACCGGCCAAAACCCGGUAGCACCGGUAGACCAAAAUCCUGCAGAACUCCGCGCAUAGAUCUCUGGCUCGCCGGUGGUACCGGCCCUUGAAGCCGGUAGUACCGGCAGUGUUUUUUACUGCGGUAUUUAAGCCGCCCGCGGUUAUUUUUCUCUGCCUUAUCUCUUCCCACCCGCCCGCCCCUUCUUCUCUUCUCCCGGCGGCGGCGGCGGCGGCUUUCUUGCCCCGAUCUCUCGGCUCCUCCAUCUAAGUCGCCCAAUCUUUGAGGAGGACCUUUCCCCAGCCGUGAGGGACGCGGAAGGCUCUUGGUUGACUCCAAGACCCUUGGGUUUGCUUGGAUUUGGCGUCUUUUCUCUGUGACGCAAGGUACUCUUUGAAAUUGCCUGAUCUCCCAAUGUACCUUAUUUUAGGCCAUUUCCUCGCACUCCUUUCCUUAUCUUAGCAUGUUCUUGCUUCUAGAAUGCCUUAUGUGUUUUUCCCUUGGUCGAUUCGAUCGAUUGGAGGUGAUUUCCUUGUUCACCGGUGCCGCCGGUGGUACCGGCUCUAGGGCCGAUGGUACCGGCCCCUGUGAGCAAGGCAGUUCCUCCCAUCGCCUUGAUCGAUUCCUUGCUGCAUUCUAGUGCGGUCUUGUAAUCUUUUCAUGCUGCCCCUCUUUGUGGUGUUGCAGAACGGAUUCCGGGAAGCGCAAGAAUCCUCCCCGUGGUGCUCGGCCUAGAUCCAGUGAUGUCGGCGGUCGGUCUGCGGAACGGGCAGUGCGUGGCCGUGGGACUCCUUCCCGUGGUCAGGGUGCGGCUGGUGCUUCCACCGGUGAUGAGGGCAUUCCUGCCCCUCUUCACACCCACACUGUCUCGUGUCCGCCCCUCUCUCACCGUGACAGAGUUCACAGUCAAGCCGUGCCUGAUCCUGUGCAAGAGGAAGGACGAGCCAUGGACCCCAAUGUCCUUCGUCGCUCGCCCCUGCAUCUCAGUGAGGUUGGUGCUCAUCGGACUCUCUCAUGGCAUCCUCAAUUUAAUGCUCAUGUCCGGAGGCCCUCUAUUCCUUCUGGCACGCAGUCCUGGCUUGGUAUUGAUUACAAGAAGCGUCUUGUGGACUUACGCAAUCUGUGCAGCGAGAACCCAUACAAGUUCAUCAAGUUUGAGGGAGUUGAGGAGCGGUUUUGGUCUCAAUUUCAAAAUGACUUCUAUGAGUCCAUCCUCUACAAGGCCAGCAAAGCCACCAAGAAUGGUCCUCUUUUUCAGCACAAGUAUGUGGUCCUCAAGUCUUUGCAAGAAUUCAAUCAUCCUGAGGUCACUGCUUUAAUCCACAAGCUUUAAGAAUGGCGCCUCCUUCCCCUUAUGACCUUUGAGAAGAAUUGGAAUGAGGAAAUCAUCUUUCAGUUUUGAGCAACCUUGUGGGUUGAUCAAGCUUCUAGGAUGCUGCACUGGAUGACUCAAGGUGUUCAUUAUCACCUUGAUUUUAUCACAUUCUCUCACCUGCUUGGUUUUGAUCAUGCGGAUCGCGAUGCACCCCGGCUGUCCAACAUCUUCGCUGAGGGGAUUUCUAAGGCUGAUCUUGAUGCUGCUGAUAUGUACAAGCCUGGAGCUCAUCCGGAUUUCAAGACCACUCAGUUGAAGCCGUUCUUCUAUGUGCUGAACAACUUGAUCCGUUACACCAUUGACCCCAAGUUUGGAGAUUCUAUUCACCUUCGUCUUGAUGCUCCCAAGAUCUUGGCUCGCUUUGGUGCUAAUGGUGGCCGCUUUGGUGUCUCGGAUUUCAUGUGGAACAAGAUUGUGGAUGCGUCCGUGGAUCCUCACAAGUACUUGCCUUAUGCUCCCUAUCUCAUGCAUAUCAUUGAGCAAGUUGCUGGAGUACAGUUCUCGCACCCAUGUGUUCAUACUCCGGUUCGUGCCAAGCACAUGGGUGCUCCUCAUGCUCCUCCUCUUAGUCCUGCUAGUGCUGCUACUCCUGCUGGUGCUGCUACUCCCGCUGGUGCUGUUCCUACUGCUGGUGCUGAUGAUGCUCAAGAGGCAGCUGUCCCUCCUCAGGACAGCGGUUGUGGACGCCGCAGCCCUACCCGUCAUGCGCUGCAGCGGUUCUUCUCUUAUUUUUGCUAUUGUCAGAAGAAGACCGAUCAGUGUCUCCAUCGUCUUGAAGAGAAGGCCACUCUUCCUUCGUCCUCUCCUCUUCGUGAGUUCCAGGACCCCUAUGAUGAAUAUGACAACAUGUACAGGACUUAUGUUGAUGAGGAUGAGGAGCAGCAGGAUCCUCCACCACCCUCUGCUUUUGAUCCAUCUUAUGGUGGUGGGAUCCCUGCUGGUUUCUGCAUGGAGGACACCGAGGCCGGCUUUGCUUAUCAGGACAUAUUUGGACCCAUAGAUGAAGUCACUAGGGCCUCUGCCUCUGCUCCUCCUCCUCACGAGUAGUCUACCUCCGCUGAUCCUCAUGGUAAGGGGCUGUUGCGUACCUUGAUCGACUACGACGACGACGACGACCUCGAUGAUGAUGGCGAGUAGUCUUUCUAGCUCUUUCUCGCAGCCUACCAUUUUUGGCACUUGCUGCCAAAGGGGGAGUGUUAGGCUUAUCUUUAAUGUAAUAAGUUAGUUGUUGGUGCCCUUCUUAAACCUUUCUAAGUGGUGAACUAUGUGUGGUGAACAAGAACUACUUUUGUGUGAUGGUUGAUUGUAAGCUAAACACUUUUAUUUCUUUACUAUAUCCUGCUUGUUUUAGCUUAUUGAGUUUUUUAGUUCUUGCAUAAUCAUUCAAAUUCUUCUUUUACUCUUUGUGAUAUAUCCUGUCAUACGCAUCACAGUUUGUUUCUUGUCACACACACACUCCUUUAGGCACCCUACGGAUUGCAAAGUUUAGGGGGAGCUUGAUCUUAAUGUAUGUCAUCUUGAUAUUAAUCAAGAUUUGAAAUUCCAAAUCCCAUGCAUACAUUAAGGGGGAGCCCAACCUGAUUUUUGGAAUUCAAAAGCUCUACUUCUUUCAAUGUUUUAUAAGCCUAAGUUGGUUGUCAUCAAUUACCAAAAAGGGGGAGUUUGUAAGUGCAUUCGCCCCCGGUGUGGGUUUUGAUAAUUAAUGACAAUCAAAUUAGGAACUAACAUGUCUAUCAAGUGUAAUCUACAGGUGUGAGUUCAUUGAUAGAAACAAACAAACACACUUGGUGAAUCACAGCACCCCCAAUUUGUCACCUUUUAAGCGACGUUUCAACUCAAGAAGCUACCUAGUUUUAUUUCUUGUUUGAGUUAUAGGAAACGCCGCACUAUCAAGAGGGAUGCAAAUUAAGUUGGUAAGAUGAGGAUAAAGGUGCUCAGGUCAACUUAGCUUUUGCGCUUAAGAGACAACUUGCACGCACGAACACCUUCAAAGUUUCUUCUCUGCCAGGGUCAGCCGGUAGUACCGGCCCUCAGGGCCGGUGGUACCGGCAGUGCUAGUUCUUCUCCUAAGUUUUGCGAGAAAAUGAACUACCGGUAGUACCGGGCUUUGACCGGUGGUACCGGCUACCGCCAGUGGUACCGGUGAAACGCCGGCAGUACCGGCAGGCCAAAUUCUCGCAGAAUUGCUGAAUGCGGGAAUUUGUACUGCCGGUGGUACCGGCCUUCCACCGGUGGUACCGGCUCAAGGCUGGUAGUACCGGUACUCCUUUUUUCUCGCAUCUUCCACAGCCUUCUCACGUUUAGAUCUGAGGACACCGGUGGUACCGGUGGUUGCACCGGUAGUACCGGUAGGUGUUCUGUACUCUAGUAUAAAUAGCUCUCUCCUCUUUUCUAACUAUUGGCUUGCUCAUUCUAGCUACUCCACAUCUGAGAAAACAGUCUCCAAGCUUUGUCUCACCCACUCUCUCUCCCUCUUGCUCCUAGAUUUCAUUUCUUGAGAGAUUCGAGCUAGAGAAGUGAGAUUAGAGAGUUGGGAGCUUCGAUCUGUGACUUGAGCACUCCGUUCCUCGUCUUGCCGGUUGGUUUGUAUUUGUUACUCUUGGGUUCUUGGAACCCUAGCCGGCUAGGCAUUCUUCGUGGUUGCCCGUGUUGUUUCACUUGUGAGGGCACCCUGAAGUGUUUGUAUUACCCUCUUAUUCUUAGUGGAAUCAUCAAGCCAACCUUUGUGGUUGCUUGAGGAGGAGACCUAAGUGGUCAGACCUUCGUGGUCACCUCAACAACGGGGACAUAGGAACUCCUCAGUGGAGAUUGCCGAACCUCAGGAAAAAUACCUUGUCUUACUGUGGAGGUAGCUUCGACUACCCUUGUUUGUGUUCUUUGUGUUCCUCUCUCUUCCACUCUUCAACAGGUAAACAAAGGUCGAUCUAUGUUGUGGAGAAGGACUAAGCUAAGGAGACUCCAACAACAUCCUCUCCUACACUUAGGAAAGUGGGGUAAAACUCAGAUCUGAAAUCUAAACUCUUUACACUAUGAUUUCGUAGCUAUCUUAGGGAGUCGGUAGUACCAGCAGUUUGCGUCGGUAGUACUGGCUGUGUGACACCAGUAGUACCGGCCCAAACUGUCGGUGGUAGCGACAGGCAUUUGACUUCUGCAACUUGAGUUUUGAGUUUUAGGUUUUUAGAUACGCCUAUUCACCCCCCUCUAGGCCAAUUAGAUCCUUUCACUAUCCAUUAACCGGAUGAUGAGCUCCCUGGUAUGAAGUGUGUCCAAGCUGUAAUCCAAAAAUGUACCAAACCCUACUCGCCUGAUAUGUGAUUUAGCACCUUCUGUCAACUCAAUAGCAGUUUCAGUGACAAUCUUAAGAGAGGACUGCACAAGUGCACUUUUACUUAUAUAUCUUACACCACCCUCAGCAUCCUACAGAAAAUGAGUCAUUUUGGAGUCAUGGCAAGCACAUUGCUGAUAUUUAGUCACAAACUAACAUUUGGGUUCAUUUUAGGUCAAAAUAAAGAUCUCAGGUACACAACAAAGUGCAUGGUGUUCUACUUUAAGGUCUACAAAUUGAGACUGCUCAAAAGAAAGCUGCUUUCUUUUCCCUUUUGUUUGUUAAAUAAGUUGAUGUCUCCUUUAUCUAUGGUUUACCUGGAUGUUGAAUUCUAUGUACCCUCCCAUUAGGUUUUGGAUCCCCCAAAACGGGUAGGAAUCCAACGAUUGAUGUCCUGUCAGUACUAUCAGUUUCUAUUUACUUUCUAAGUCUUAGUUACUUUGGAUAAUAAAACCCGAACCUGUUUAUACAUGGUUUUAGCACCAGCAACAUUGUAGUCUCAGUUACUUUGGAUAAUAAAACCCGGACCUGUUUAACUUAUGAAAGAGCCAGGUGCAUUUCAGGAGAAGUUUGGGAGAAGGAUUUUCUCAAAGUUGCCGAUUAUGAAAUUCCACUGAUCCAAGCAGUCGGUUCUGACGAAGAGUUUUAAUGGAUAGGUUCGCCGAUGAUGGAAAAUUAGGCCAGGGGUUUACAUCGGCCGAUGAUUUAGUAGAAGUAGACAUAGGUAGUGGUGAUAGGCCAAGACCUACUUUUAUUAGUGCUAAGUUAGAUUCUGGGUGUAAGCAACUUAAUCGAUUUGUUAAAGGAAUAUAAAGAUUUCUUUGCUUGGGAUUAUACCGAGAUGCCUGGUUUAGACCGAUCUAUUGUUGAACAUCGGUUGCCUAUCAAGUCUGGGUUUCGGCCGCAUCAGCAGCUAGCACGCUGAUGCAAUCCUAGUAUCCUUUCUGAUAUUAAGGCUGAAAUAACUAAACUUAUUGAGGCUAAAUUUAUUCGGCAAUGUCGGUAUGCCGAGUGGAUUUCCAAUGUUGUUCCAGUUUACAAGAAGAAAGGGAAACUUCGUGUCUGCAUUGACUUUAGGAAUCUUAAUAAGGCUACGUCGAUGGAUGGUUACCCAAUGCCGGUUGCCGAUUUGUUGGUUGAUGCUGCAGCUGGACAUCGGAUCAUUAGUUUUAUGGAUGGCAAUGCAGGAUACAAUCAAAUAUUCAUGGCUGAGGAAGAUAUUUCCAAGACAGCAUUUAGAUAUCCUGGUCAUGUUGGAUUGUUUGAAUGGAUAGUCAUGACCUUCAGUUUGGAAAAUGCAGGUGCUACUUAUUAGAGGGCUAUGGAUUUUAUCUUUCACGAGUUCAUCGGCAAAAUAGUUGAGAUCUAUAUUGAUGAUGUGGUGGUUAAGUCUGGAGAUUUCACAAAGUAUCUUGCCGAUCUGCGAAAAGUGCUGGAGUGCACAAGGAAGCAUGGUUUAAAGAUGAAUUCUAAUAAAUGUACAUUUGGCGUGUCGGCAGGACAAUUUCUUGGUUUCAUGGUGCAUCCGAGAGGGAUUGAAAUUAGUAGGAGAUCUAUUGAUGCCAUCAACAAAAUAGUUGCUCCCACCAAUAAAACUGAACUUCAAUCACUGAUCGGCAAGAUAAAUUUCAUCAAACGAUUUAUAUCUAAUUUGUCCGGUAAGAUUCGUGCUUUUAGCCCUUUGCUUAAGUUGAAAGCCGAUCAAGAGUUCGUAUGGGGAAAAGAGCAAAAGUUAGCGUUGGAUGAAAUCAAGAAUUAUUUAACAAAUCCUCCAGUUCUGAUUCCACAUCAGCAAGGAAAGCCUUUCAAAUUAUAUUUGUCUACCGAUGGGAUGGUCAUCGGUUCGGCUCUAAUUCAAGAAUUUGAAGGGAAGGAACGUGUGAUUUAUUAUCUGAGUAGGAGACUGGUGGAUGCUGAAACGAGGUAUUCAGCGAUUGAGAAACUGUGCUUAUGCUUAUACUUUUCAUGUGUCAAAUUAAGGCACUCUUUGGGUUGGCCGAAUGCACUGUUAUAUGCAAAGAUGAUGUAGUCCGAUACAUGUUAUCUAUGUCGAUUAUGAGUGGUAGAAUUGGCAAGUGGAUUUUGCCAUUGUCGGAAUUUGAUCUACGCUAUGAAUUGGCUAAGGCGGUUAAAGGGCAGAUUAUGGCCAAUUUUGUAACUCAGCAUUGCGGUAUGGUGCACACUUUGGAAAUCGUUCCUUAGACACUCUUCUUUGAUGGAUCCACGUGUGACCGGGGGGCAAGAAUCGGCAUAGUGCUAAUUUCUCCUCGAGGAAAGAAGUAUAAGUUUUCUUUGCCGAUUGUUGCCACGUCGACGAAUAAUCAAGCUGAGUAUCAAGCUUUGCUCAUAGGGUUGGAAUUAUUAAAGGAGGUUCAUGCCGAUGCUGUUGAGAUCUUCGGCGAUUCUAUGCUUGUUAUAAAUCAAUUGGCUAGAAUUUAUGAAUGAAUAAGUGAAAUUUUGAUAGCCUACUAAGAAAAGUGUGUACAACUGUUAAAGGAAUUCAAUGAUUUCCGGUUAGAGCAUAUUCCUCGAUUACAUAAUGAAGAAGCUAAUCGGUUGGCUCAACACGCCUUGGGAUACCAGCCCAUCUUGAAUGUAUCAUCAGCAGACAAUACUGAUGAUUGGAGAAAGGAAAUCAUUGAUUAUUUAAGAGAUCCAUCCAAGAAGGUUGAGAGACGUGUUAGGUUUCAAGCUACCAAAUAUGUACUCCUUGAAGAGGAGUUAUAUUAUCGGACAAUAGAUGGAAUUUUGCUCAAGUGUUUGGGUGAUGAUGAGGCUAGAAGCUUGAUGGGUGAGAUCCAUGAAGGAGUGUGUGGGGCGCACCAGUCGGCUUUCAAGAUGAAAUGGAUGAUUAGAAGAAAUGGGUAUUAUUGGCUGACUAUACUUGAAGAUUGCUUUAAAUACUUCAAAGGAUGCCGAGGAUGUCACAAGUUUGGUAAUAUUCAAAGGGCACCCGCAUCGGCCAUGAAUCCCAUUAUUAAUCCUUGGUCGUUUCGAGGUUGGGCUAUUGAUCUCAUUGGACAGAUUUAUCCGCCAUCAAGCAAAAGGGCAUAAGUUUAUAUUAGUUCCUACUGAUUAUUUUACUAAAUGGGUUGAAGCUAUUCCUUUGAAGAAAGUGACAUCGGCUAACAUGAUUGAUUUUGUGAAAGAGCACAUUGUUUACCGAUUUGGUAUUCCUCAAACAAUCACUACCGAUUAGGGUACUAUGUUCACAUCGGGAGAGUUUGAUGAAUUUGCAAUCGGUAUGGGGAUUAAAGUAUUGAAUUCUUCUCCUUAUUAUGCUCAAGCCAAUGGACAAGCCGAAGCGUCUAAUAAAGGGAUUAUUAAGCUCAUCAAGCGAAAGAUUGAAGAAAAUCCUAGAAAAUGGCACACAUUGUUGAAUGAAGCUUUGUGGUCAUAUCGGAUGGCGUGUCAUGGAUCGACCAAAGUUUCACCCUAUCAGUUGGUGUAUGGGCACGAUGCGGUGUUGCCAUGGGAAAUUAAGACUGGAUCUAGGCGGGUCUCUUUUCAAGAUCAAUUAGCUGCCGAUGACUAUGCUACUUUGAUGAAAGAUGAGUUGGACGAUUUGGCAGAGCAUCGGUUGACGGCUUUGAUAAGUAUAGAAGAAAAUAAAAAGAGAGUUGCUAAAUGGUAUGAUAAAAAAGUAAAAGCUAAGGAGUUUGCCAACGGAGAUUUGGUAUGGAAAUUAAUUCUACCGAUUGGAACUAAAAGAAUGAUGGGAUGGGUGCCUGUUCCCCAUUACGAUUCCCGUGACUGGCGUGUUAGGUGAGAACGCGACAGGCGCAUUAAAUGCCCUAGUUCCCGUGCGCGCGUCAGGCGGCGGGCGGCGUCCUUGCGCUCGACGCCUCCUGAUUCGCUCGAGCCUGUUUCCGUAUUUGACGGUUGUUGGCGCUCGAGCCCUGAUCGAUUCGCUCGACGCCCUUUCCGUCUUCGAGGCUGCGGUCGUCGAUGAUUAUACGCGUGAUUGGGAAGAGCAUCGAGUUGGGGGCCUCGACUUGCGUUCGGGCGAUCUCGUUAUGUACAUCAGUUGGGAUACCCCUUACUGAUACCCUCGACAGUAGCCCCUGAGUCUCCAUUUGAGCGCUGGCGCUCGAGUGGAGGCUUUAUUUUGCGGUUGAGUUUCCGUGGGGGCGCGCGAGCGACCCCGCGGGGGUAGCCCCCGAGCCCUUGGAGGAGUUUUUGACUCCUUCGAGGGUUAUAUUGCCUAAUUCACAGAAACGCUAUCGACACCAGUGGUGGAAGGUUCUGUUUGGCUCGUUUUGUGCAGUGGUUUCAACAUACUCUCGAUAGAGCGAGCGUCAUCCACCCCGGAUUGAGCUCCUAACGGGUAGCCCAAGUGAGAACCUGUGCCCCUUUUGAGGGGGUCAGCUGUUGCCCGGAGGCGCUCUCAUAAAGCGGGAUCGACGUGGUCGGGGAUGCCGGUCUCAUUCGAUAGAGUCCAGUGGCUCGAUGCCUCCCGUCGGGGGGAUUCCUCUCGACUGUCUCGACCCUACCUUGGACAUCCCCAGCGAGUUCUCGAGGCGGGCCUCGGUUUUGACCACUCGCUGGGCAUCCCCAACUCUGGUGCUCGAGAUCGGCUGUCGAACCCUUUCGGCGGGCCAGCCUGCGACCUCUCGAGGCUUUCAUGGGUACGUACCUUGGCUUACAAGGGAAGGAAAAGGCCGUGGCGGUUCGCCUUUUUGCCCGUUGGGCGCGUCUUUUCAGGCGGGAGCUGUUGCGACACUGUAUCGGUGCAGAAUUCGGAACGCUCGGCCUGUGAGGAGAAAAAAGACCAUUAGGUGGCGCAUUUACGGGGGGAGUUACCGCAUUUAUCGGAUCUGCCUGUUGGUGGUUGCCGUCUAUAAAUAUCCCAUGGCCUGGUUGCCGUUCUCCCUUCUGCCUUCCGCCCUCAUUCCUACCUUUGCCUCCUUGCCAUCUCACGCACGCGCGGACCCUCGAGCAGUAGCGGAUCUGCCUUUCUUCAACCCAAGGAUGCCUAUGAGACUCGUCGCCACCGACGACUGGCGCCCGUCGUCGAUGACGGAGCGCCGGUUGCUGGAGCUCAAGAGGGAGGGACUCCUGCGCCACCGCACAUCGCUGUCGUCGCCGGAGUGGAUCGCGCCGCUGGUGGACCACCAGGAGCCCAGGCCGCCCAAGGGCUAUGUGGUUUCGUUCACCAAGUUCCACCGCCAUGGCCUGGGCACUCCUCCGAGUCGCUUCAUGCGGGCGCUCUGCCAUCACUACGAGGUGGAGCUCCAGCAUUACUCCCCAAAUGCCAUUACCGUCGCGGCGGUCUUUGCCACGGUGUGUGAGGGCUAUUUGGGGAUGAUGCCCCACUGGGACCUGUGGCUCCACCUCUACAGGGUGAGCUCUUCAACGCCCCUACUGAGACCACAGGCGUGAGGAAACCUGUGUGGGCUGGGUGCUUCACACCUGGUGCUGAAGACGGGGAAGACGAAGAGGCCACGCGAGUACAUCCCGGUGGGAUUGUCCUCGAACCACGCCGGAUGGGACAACCAGUUGUUCUACCUGAGAAACGACGACGACCUCCUUCCUGCCUACACCGGCCAUUUAAUCACGGAGCGUCCGGAGAACUGAAAGUACGGCGUCGUCCAAGCUCACCAGUCGAGGCUCGACCCCCUCCUCGACUCCUUAAAGAAGCUACGCGUGGAGGGCUUGUCUGCCGCUCUUGUCCUCUCAGCCGUCCAUCAUCGGAGAGUCCUCCCGCUGAUGUCUCGGCUACUGAGGAUGGACGAGAUGGGUCCCAGCGUUUCGUCCCGGGACCUUGAGGCGUGCCGAAUGUCCUAAUGAUGUACCUCAUCUGGAUGCCCAGAGGCGAGAUGAAUAGCAGGCACGCCCCAGCUCUCGUUUUCAUGAGAGACCCAUUGAAAUACAUCGUCCACAGCUCCGCCUGGACCUGAGCCGGGGGGAGUUGGGAGUCCGUCCACUCCGCGACAAAAUCCACCAAGGCUUGUGAUUUGAUAGCUUUGCGGGGCGCGUAAGUGAGGGUCUCGCUCAUGAGCUCGACCGACCACUUUGCGAUCCUACCCGUGGCCUCCCGACUCUGGAUGAUCUCUCCCAAGGGGAAGGAUGAGACCACCGUGAUAGGGUGGCCGAGGAAGUAGUGCUACAGCUUGCGUCGGGCGAGGAUUAUGGUGUAGAUUAGCUUCUGGAUUUGCGGGUAACAUGCCUUGGUCUCUGAGAGCACCUCGUUGACGAAAUAGACCGGCCUCUGGACUGGCAACACAUGCCCCUCUUCCUGCCUCUCGACUACUACCGCUGCACUGACGACCUGGGUCGUCGAAGCGACGUAUAGAAGCAGAGGUUCAGCGGGUUGAGGUGGGACUAAGACUGGCGCAGAGGUCAGCGUUUUCUUCAAGUUGUCGAGGGCUUCUUCGGCUUCUAGAGUCCAAGAGAAACGCUCGACUUUCUUCAGAAGUUGAUACAAUGGCAACGCCUUUUCUCCCAACCUCGAGAUAAAACGACUCAGCGCCGCUAAGCAUCCCGUGACUCUCUGCACGCCCUUGACGUCUCGGAUUGGCCCCAUUCUUGUGAUGGCUGAGACUUUCUCGGGGUUGGCCUCGAUGCCGCGCUGGGAAACAAUGUAACCCAGGAGCAUGCCUCGAGGUACACCAAAAACACACUUCUCGGGGUUGAGCUUGAUCUGGUUGGUGCGUAAGCAGCUGAAAGCGAUCUCGAGGUCCUAGAUCAGGUCGCCCCGCCGCUUUGACUUGACGACGAUGUCGUCGACAUAGGCCUCGACCAUCGACCCUAUGUGCUUGCCAAACACAUGGAGCAUGCAACGCUGAUAUGUGGCUCCCGCGUUUCGAAGCCCGAACGGCAUGGUUACAUAACAAUACAUCCCGAAAGGCGUAAUGAAAGAUGUCGCGAGCUGGUCGGACUCUUUCAUUUUUAUUUGAUGGUAACCAGAAUACGCAUCAAGGAAAGAAAGGGUUUCACAUCCCGCAGUAGAAUCAACAAUUUGAUCAAUACGUGGUAAAGGAAAAGGAACUUUCAGACAUGCUUUAUUUAAACUUGUAUAAUCGACACACAUCCUCAUUUUCCCAUUCUUUUUCUUAACUAGUACAGGAUUUGCUAACCAGUCGGGAUGGUGAACCUCCUUGAUGAAUCUGGCCAUCAAAAGCUUGUGGAUUUCCUCGCCAAUGAUCUUGCGCUUCUCUUCGUCGAAGCGGCGCAACCGCCGCUUCACUGGCUUGGAACUGGCUCGAAUCUCCAAGGAGUGCUCGGCGACUUCCCUCGGUAUGCCUGGCAUGUCCGAGGGACUCCAUGCAAACAUGUCAGCGUUCACACAGAGAAAGUCGACGAGCACGGCUUCCUAUUUGGGGUCGAGGUCGGCGCUGAUUGUCAGCACCUUGCCGUCGGAUUUGUUGGGGUCGAGCGGGAUCUUCUUGGUCCCCUCCGCCGGCUCGAAGCUGCCCGCGUGGCACUUGGGCUCUAGAGCUUCAGCAGCCAGGGCCUCGAGCUUCGAGACGAGCUCGGUGGAACUCUCGACAACCUCCCCAUACACGACGCAUUCGACGUCGCACUCGUUCGCGUGCUCGAAGGUGGAGCUGACGGUGAUGACGCCCUUGGGACCGGGCAUCUUCAGCUUCAAGUAGGUGUAGUUGGGGAUAGCCAUGAAUUUGGCGUAGCCCGGGUGUCCGAUGAUUGCGUGGUACGUGCCUCGGAACCCCACCACCUCAAAGGUGAGGGUCUCCUUUCUGAAAUUAGCCGUCGUGCCAAAGCAAACCGGUAGGUCGAUUCGACCGACCAGCAACGCCUUCUUGCCUGGUACGACACCAUGGAAUCCACCGGCGCUGGGCUGGAGCUGCGCCCCAUUGAUGCCGAGGAGGUCGAGGGUCUCGAGGUAGACGAUGUUGAGGCUGCUGCUGCCGUCCAUCAGCACCUUCAAGAGUCUGGUGUUGACGAUGAUGGGAUCGACGACAAGCGGGUAGACGCCAGGGGUGACUACCUUGUCGGGGUGAUCCUCUCGAUCGAAGGUGAUGGGGGUGCUCGACCAGCUGAGGUACUGGGGCACUGCCAUCCUUGCCGCAAAAACCUCACGCUGUUCCCUCUUGCGCUGCCUUGCGGUCAGCUGUGUCGAGGGGCCUCCGUAGAUCAUGUAGCAGUCGUGGACGGCAGGGAAGCCGUCGUCGUCUUUGCCAUCCCCUUUGUCGCCGCUCUUUUCUUUCUUUAGGUCGUCACGGGCGUCCUUCUUGAACCCCAAACCGUCGAAAUGCUUUUUCAGCAUACGAUAGUCCUCGAGCUUGUGGUUGGCUCCUCCCUUAUGGUGAGGGCAUGGCUCCUUUAGCAUCUUAUCGAAGAUGCCCCCAUCUGGAGGGCCUCGAGGCCUUUUGCGCUCCAUGGCGAUGACGAGAUCGUCAUCGAGGUCUUCCCGCUGGAGCGGCCGUGUUUUCUUCUUGUUGUUGUUCUUCUUGGGCCCUCGACUGGGGCCCUCAUCCUCAUCGGUGGGCUGCUUGCCCCUCUUUCCUUCACAACUGAAGAAGGCGCCCACCGCUUCUUCCCUAGCAGCGUACUUUGCUACUACGUCCAUUAGCUCGUCGAUGGUCUAAGGACGGUUCCGGCCCAAUUCCUGCACCAAGUCUCGACUGGUGGUACCAGAGACAAAGGCCAGGACGACGUCGUGGUCGGGGAUGUGUGGCAGCUCGGUGCGUUGCUUCGAGAUGCAUCAAGCAUACACUCGAAGAGUUUCUCCUGACUUCUGCUUGCACUUGCUGAGGUCCCACGAGUUUCUAGGUCAUAUGUAGGUUCCUUUGAAAUUACCCUCGAAUACUCUAACCAAAUCGACCCAGUCGUGGAUCUGGUUGGCUGGGAGCUCCUCGAGCCAUCUGCGGGUGGUGUUACAGAGGAAGAGCGGCAGCUGUCUGAUGAUGGCUCGAUCGUCCCCUCGAGUGCCUCCUAGCUGACAGGCCAGCCUGAAGUCCGCCAGCCAGAGCUCUGGCUUGGUCUUGCUGUUGUACUUUGCAAUGCUGGUCGGGGGUCGGAACGGGCUGGGCAGUGGCGUGCUGCGGAUUGCCCUACUAAACACCCUCGGGCUAGGCGGCUCUGGGGCCAUCCGGUCUUCAUCGCUGUCGUACCUCCCGCUGCGAUGGGCGCUGUAACCUCGCUCCUCCGCGUCCUCAUACCAACGUCGUCGAUUUUCGUCGAUGUCGCGUCGCGCGUCGUGUCGACGUUGGCUGUCGACGGGGAGGACGAGUGUGGUCUUUUUCCCUCGAGGGGGUGGCUGCUGAUGGACCGACACCUCCUUUUCGUUUUGGGCUGGCUCGUCGCGCUUCUCGGUGGCUGCUCCUCGACGUCGAGAAGCCGAGCUUUCGGCCUGCUAAACUGCUGCCACCUGGAGCAGAGUCUGCACCUCGUCUCGGAUGCGCCGUGCUUGGGAGUUUGAGGGCUCGGGCAUGUUUCCCAACAGCAUAGUUGCUGCCACAACAUUCUGGCCCACUCGAGGGAAGCGGCUGACAGGUUGUUCUGGCUCCCCGUCCCAGACGAUCUAUCGAUGCACCUCUCGAGCCCUUCUGCGGACACUUCCGCCGGGCGGGUAAGGCAGGUCCUACUCGAGGAUUUGCUCAAGUAGGACAAGGCGCUCGCGAUCCUCGUUAAGCUUUGCCUUAAGCUCUCGUAGCUGCACAAUUUGCGCGGCUCUGUCUUCUUGUGGAGGGGGGUCGACUUGACCGUCAUUCCCAGGUGUCCUGGGGUCUUCUCUUGCUGCAGGGGCUCGCCCGCCUGCAAUGGCGUCUUGUGUCUCAUCGGUUGUUUCCACCGCUCCGUCGAUAUGAUAGCACUCCCUAGUAGGGUCAUAACUAUCGGUCUCGGAACCGGAGUCUGGCUCGGCGGCGUAGAAACAUCCACGUCCCUCUUCCAGUAGCCGCUGCCUGAGGGAGGUGAUCGUGUACCGCCCAGGGCCUAGGCGGCGGAGGCCUCGUACCUAAGAGAAAUCCGGCAGCUCGGACGUCGGUUGUUGUGCUCCAGGGUUGCGUGGGAGGACCAUUGGUCUCUCCACGUAUGUCUGGGCGUUUGGACAUAUUGUCCUGGAGAGCGACGCCGCGGCGUUGUCCAGGCCGAACGGUAAUGUUCUUCUUGGGGCGACCAGCCCGUGUGGAAGUAGCCUGGCGGUGGGGGAGAGCGCGCGAGGCGCGUCACCUCCCGUCGUCGUGUGAUCCUCGCGGUGCUAAGUCGUCGUGCUCACGGCUUCAGCACGCGGUGCCGUCGGCUCCUGUGUCACCUCCUGCCUGGCACGAACCGUCGGUCAUGACGAGGCAGAAGGGCGACGAUGGUGCUGUCCACGCCUCUUCUUGGGCGGGGAGGCGUGAUGGCUAGGGCGUCUCGGGGCCCUCGUCCGUGCUGGCGCAACGCGGGCUCCUCCCGGUCCUUUGAUUGAGAGCAAGAUCAUGUUAUAGCCAGAGCCAGUAGACAUGAACUCGAGACUCCCAAACCAAAUCACUGUGGAGCGCGGAAUCGGUGAAGAAAGAGUGGCCAUCUAGAAAAGAAUUGGGAAUCGAUGAAAAACACGCAGGACCCCUACCUGGCGCGCCAACUGUUGGUGUUUUUCCCACGGGGGGUUACACCAACGAGUGAAUUUGUAUGCGUGCUCCCCUUUCCAGAUGGUGAUGCAAAAAGACACAAAGAUUUAUCCUGGUUCGGGCAAGAGAAGGCCCUACGUCCAGCGGAGGAGGAGAGUUUGUAUUAUUCUGCACCUAAGUGCUUGUACAGGGGUGAAUAUGUAACACCUGGCCCAGGGCUUAAUAGGAUUAAUAGGAGACUCAUACCAACAAGUUGCAACUUCUUUUCCGGAAGCCCAUCUCCAAAGAACUCUAAAGUUAAGCGUGCUUGGCCUGGAGAAAUUUAGGGAUGGGUGACCGACCGGGAAGUACUUCUCGGGUGCACAUGAGUGAGGACAAAGUGUGCAGAAAAGACUAGUGUUGGUCUGUGGGGGCUGACUAUGUCCUAGAAAAGCUGCCAGAUGUAAGCGGGCCCGGCCUCGUGGAGGCGGGAUGUUGCAGAAUACAAGCGUAGUAUGGGGUGUAGCGAUGUGAGUAGCACUACUACGUAUGGCUGGUGAGUUGUGUUGUGGUGUAUUGCGUGAUGUUGUAUCUCUUCCCGGGUCUCCCCUUUUAUAGUUCCAAGGAGGAGCCCAGGGUACAAGUAUAGAAGUCAGAGUAGGGGUCGAUAGAGGUAUGGCGCGCGGAACUACUUGAGGCCUCCGUACCGGCGUGGUCUCGAGCCGUCUGGUCCGGGUAGCCUGAUGAUGAUUACGCGUGCCCCUUUAUCCUGCUCUGCGCGCCGUCUUGGACUGGCUUAUCUGCUGCACGCCUGUACGUCAUGGCAGCGGUUACGUCGGGGCAGUCGUAGUGUUGUCAUUCGACGCCCAACCCUUCCCUAGGAAGGAAACAUGUCUGGUCGAGGGUCGGACGCCGUGUAGCGCCUUGCUACCCAGAGCAUUGACCUUUGGUGUCUCGAGGAGGUCUUGAUUAGACGUUCCGACCCUGCUUCCUACGUUCUGACAAGCUCUGGGUCAUUUGGUGGGGAAGGCUGCAAAAAGAUUGAUGGGAUGGGUGCGUGUUCCCCAUCACGUUUCCCGUGACUGGCGUGUUAGGUGAGAACACGACAGGCGCAUUAAAUGCCCUGGUUCCCGUGCGCGCGUCAGGCGGCGGGCGGCGUCCUUGCGCUCGACGCCUCUCGAUUCGCUCGAGCCUGUUUCCAUAUUCGACGGUUGUUGGCGCUCGAGCCCUGAUCGAUUCACUCGACGCCCUUUCCGUCUUCGAGGCUGCGGUCGUCGAUGAUUAUACGCGUGAUUGGGUAGAGCGUCGAGUUGGGGGCCUCGACUUGCGUUCGGGCGAUCUCGUUAUGUACAUCAGUUGGGAUACCCCUUACUGAUACCCUCGACAAGUAGCAGCAACUGACGGGGACGUCUUUGACCGCUUGGUGGUUAUCUUCUUGAAACGCACAUUCUGAUGCAUCAAAGCUGCUAAACUUGGUGCGUUGUGACCGAUUAAAGAGAUUGGACCUGAUGGUAGAAGUUCAAGCGGUCUUCCGCUCCUACUGACUGUCGGUGCUGUGUUGUCGAUCUGUUGAAGCAAAAGACAAGAGAAAGUGAGUCACCGAUAGGGUCAGAAGUAACAAAGGAACUGAGAUAUUGAUCGAAGACUUACAGUGUUAUCCGGGACUUUAUAGUUGGGGUCGAUCAUGCCACGGUAUGUCAGUGCCGAUGCGUUGAACAGAUGUUCCUUCCAUUCUUCCCACCACUGCUUGUACAUCUGAGUGAUGAAGAGGGCUGGGAUCCAAGCCGAUACAUCGAUAUCCGUCGUAUCGGCAUUUGGUUGAAGCUAGGCUACCCUUAUCCACUCCAGUCCACUGGUUAUAGUCUCCCUUGGCUUCACCACAUCGGGGUAACAGAGUCUGAUCGGUAGUUGGCCAAAAGCCAGUUGACGAGCUAGUAUCUAUGGGUUGUAAAAUUCAUAAGUGGGGUUGGUGUUCUUCCCACAGCCAAAAGUAUUCACUUGGAUGGCCCUCGGAGUGAUGAUUGCCAUCAUCAAGUCAUUGUCUUUGUUGAGAGCAUCAUCAAAAAGGGUGAAAAGUAAGCGAGAAUCUAGUUUCUGGGUCUUCAUAAGGCAUCCAUGCCCGCUGAUCUUUGGGAAGGCCAUCAUAUAGAGUUUCGAAGAAUUGGUUGACCUGGUCUUCAUUACCACCAGUGCCAGGUAGGACAAUAGUAGCCUCACCACAGUUUAGGGGUGGGCGAGUUGCUGAUUCCUCAUCAGCCAGUUCGUGAUCUUCGGCGAUAUCUCUAGGAAAUCGUUGUGCAAAGAGAUCAAAUCGGAGACGCUUAUGCAUGUGAACAUUGAGCCACAUGUUGAUGAACCACUAAAGAUCUCCUAGAUUGCCGAUGGGUUGACCUAGCAGAAGCUUCUCAGCCACUUGAUGAAGGAGGUGAUAAACAGAGCCUAGCAGGUAUCGGCCAAGAGGGAAUCGACCGCCAUCGGCUAGUUUUUCUACUGUCGAUAGAUAAACAGAAGUUGGCCCUACCGAUAGGCCACAGAAGAGAAAUUUAUCUAGCCACAUGUUCAGAAAGAUGGCGUGUUCCCUUUGCCCAACUGGUCCUGUUUUCUGGUAUUUCUGGAUAUACCCUGACCAACCGCCGAUGUUGUGAGUUUCUACUUUACGUUCGGGCUUGCUAUCAAACACGUGACUAUCAUCGGCAGUUGCUAUCUCUAGACCAAUGAGCAUGAGCACAUUGGCAAGGGUAGGAGAAGCAGGACCAUGACCAAACAAGAAAGCAUUAAGGGUGUCUGACCAGAAGUACGAGGCUGCUAUCAACAGUGAUUCAUUUCUUUCCAUAUCGGCAAUGGACAACCUGAUACACUGGUCUAAUUUACGCUCACCCCAUCGGACUUCAUUAGAGUUGCUAACUCUCAAGAACCAAUCCUUCCAUCCCUUGGUAGAACUGGGCCAAGAUCGGAAGGUGUCUUUCCAUAGAUCUAAGGAGAAAUUCUCAGCUCUAAAGGGGAUCCUAUUUGUUUCCGCAUUGAUCAGGUCGGUAGGAUCCGGAUUUCCCAACGGACCGAGACAUUGAAAAUGGGGUUGCUCGGUAGGAAUCACAAUUUUCUCGACCAGUUCCUAAAGAUUUGAAGGUUGGAAAAACAUAAAGAGGGGAAAAGAGAGAAAGAAAGUGCUGAGUCAAUAAAUUUGCAGAAGAUAAAAGUACGAUAAAAGAAAAUAAGAUGGGAUAGAAUUGACCUGAGGGACGGUGAAGUUGACAGCCAUGUCUUCCUGGAGAAGGAGAAGAUCGAAGAUUUGAAGAACUGCUAGGGGAGAUCUUUGCUGGAGUUCUUGGGUUCUCCAACGAUGCCGCUGCUGGAAAGAUGGGUUAGGAGGAUGUAGAAUGACAGGGUGAAGGAAGAGUACCAAGGAAGGAAGUAUUUAUAGGGUAAAGUGAGCAGGGGCAAUUCUGACUUAUCUCUUUGUCAUAUCCGCAAAAUCCGAGGGUGUUCAGAUGGAUAUGGUAACUGUUCGCAUGGUAAUCAAGGGAUUGUGCAGGUGAUUUGACACCAAGCGGUCAUGAUUUUGAAGAUAUUUUACUGUACAAGAUCCCUUGGUCGGUUCAUCGGUAGUUUAUUCUAACGGAAAAGUUGCCAAUGAACGGAUGUUUAGGUGAUUCGGUUUGAGAGGUUGAAAAAUUCGAGAUAUAUGCUAGAGAUCCGGGCUGAGGCUGUUUGGAUUUAGCAAUUAAUGAUCGUCACGAGGAAAUAAUUGCGAAAAGGGCGUUAUUAUUGGAGAGAAUUUUGGAGCAUUAAUGAUUUUAUACCCCAAAAUUGAGGGGCAUGUGUUGACACCGUUUUUGGACACGUAUCUUUGGACCCGUAUCUGGGGAUUAAUGGAAUAAAGAUCAGGAGGUGAAAAGGGUGAUGAUUGGUUAUCAAAGGAAUUGCCGAUAGGGAUUGGUGCCAAUGGUGGAGUAGCAGGAUGUGGCUAAGUCCAAGGAUGGUGAUUGAUAUAUGCCGAUGGCCGAUGCUGGUGAUUGAUGCCAAUGGCUGAUACUGGUGGUUGCCGAUGCCAAUGGAAGGUGGGUUUGCCAAUUUCCGAUGAUAACAAGAGGCACAGGAAUUGCUGAGAGGAUGGUGGUAGUGUGCCGAUCGCCCGUGGUAGAUAGAUUAAUGUUUUCCAUAGUUAUUAGAGUUUGUUUUGUAUACGAAUUCUGUUCAAUUGGGAAUUAGAAUCCUAGUCGUGUCUAGUUGUAAUUCUUUUGAGCAGGGUAUAAAUAUAAACCCCAUAGCAAUGUAAUAGGAGAUCACAAUCAAUCAACUACAAGUCUUUACAUCUAUUCUAGCAUCUACUUUUUCGACGACUUCAUCAACCUACGUAUUUUCCUUUUACUUACGAGUUCUUAGGAAUUCAUCGAGUCAAUCUCGGCAAAUUCUCAAGUUCCGCGUGAAUACAUCUUGGCUGUGACAUCCAGGCGCAUCGCUGUUGUCGGGACCAAAGUAUUCGAGCUAUCACCUUUGUCGAUUGUAAGGUCAAAUCGGCUGACACGCCUUAACAUCAAAUCGGGUAUUAGCCCUUUGUGUUUGUAGAUCUACUUUUGCACCAACAUCCCUCUUGGCCGAUACCUGUUAGGCUCCGUCUAUCACCUCCUCCAUCAAGUAACCGAGAAACUUCUGCUAGGUGAACCCAUCGACAAUCUAGGAGGCCCUUGGUGGUUACUCAACAUGUGGCUCAAUGUUCACAUGCACAAACGGCUUCGGUUUGAUUUCUUUGCACAACAAUUCCCCAAAGAUAUCACCAAAGAUUAUGAACUGGCCGAUGAUGAAUCAGCAACUCGCUCACCCCUCAAUUAUGGUGAAGUUGUUAUAGUUCUCCCUGGCACCGCCUCCAAUGAAAACUAGGUCGGCCGAUUCUUCCAAACUCUGUAUGAUGGCCUUUCCAAAGAUCAACGAGCAUGGAUGCCUUAUGAAGAUCCAGAAACUAGGUUCCCACUGACCUUCCACCCUUUUGACAACGCUCUCAACAAGGAUAAUGAUUUAAUGAUGGCAAUCAUCACUCCGAGAGCAAUUCCAGUGAAUAGCUUUGGCAGCGGGAAGAACAUCCACACCACCUAUGAGUUUUACAACCCAUCGGCACUGGCCCGCCAACUGACUUUUGGUCAACUGCUAACCAGACUUUGUUAUGCCGAUGUAGUAAAACCAAGAGAGAUAGUAACCAACAGACUUGAGUGGAUUAGGAUAGCUCAACUCCAGCCAGAUGCCGAUAUGACAGACAUCGAUCUAUCGGCCUAGGUUCCAGCUCUCUUCAUUACUGAGUUGUAUAAACAUUGGUGGGAAGAAUGGAAGGAGCAUCUGUUCAGGGUAUCGGCUCAUACAUAUCACGACAUGAUUGACUCCGACUACAAAGUCCCCGAUAACAUUGUAAGUCUUUUACCAAUACCUCAUUUCCGUUGUUAUCUUUAACCUUAUCGGCAAAUUAUUUAUUCUCAUUUCAACAGGUCGAUGACCCAGCGCCGACAAUUAGCAGAAGUGGGAGGCCGAUCGAACUUCUUCAAUCAGGCUCAAUUUCUCUGAUCGUCCGCAAUGCGCCAAGUCUAGCGGCUCUGAUGCAUCGCAACGUACACUUCAAAAAGAUGACCACCAAACGGUCGAAAACAUCUCCAUUAGUCACUGCUGCCACUCUGGCAUAGGCUUUUAAGGUAAACUGUUAAUUUUCUUUGUUUAUAAUGAUUUCAUCCCAUAAUCACAUUAUCUUUUCAGGGUACAUCAGCUGCAACGGGAACUUCAUCGGUAACUUUUAUUCUUUAGCAAAAAACUCCACCACUAUCCUUUUAUAUUUCAACUCAUGAAAUUUUUUGGUCGUUGUAACAGCAGACCGGCAAAUCGGCAAAGACCAAGAGUGCCCAAACAUCAGGCAUCGAUCCCCCCAGCCCAGUCAAGCUCUAGCCAAGAGAAAGGGUCCGAAAAGCACCAAGACCCAACCAAAGCGUCAGAAGCCAACACCAUCCUCUCCACCUCAUCCAGUAUCCCUGAUCCAAAUAGUAUCCUCUCCUUCUCAAUCGGAGCCCCAAACACAAGAAGUACCUUCUCCCCCUCGAUCCGUACCCCAACUGCAAGAAGCACCAACCGAUGUAUCUGAACAGAUUGCCGAUCCGGUUGAUCUGGGCACAUCAUCGGUCAUCCCUCUAGAAUAGACAAUCACCAUACCUCCUCAAGGUAAAGUACUGAUUACAGAAUUAUUACCGAUGAAUUUAUCUAUAAGCCAUAAUCAUCCUUGUAACUUUUCAGCUAAAGUCAUUCCAUCGGCAACCCCAGCCGAUCAAACUAUAGUACCAGCUACAUCUCCACCUCAGAGAUAGGAAAUCGCCUUGAAGGAAGUAAGUUAUCCAAUUUUCCAAACUUUGCACUAUCAAUACUCAAUCUUGAGUAACUUAUCUUCUUCCUUUUCUAGGAGCAAGACUCCCAGAUAGCCUAUUCUCCUUUGCUAUCGACAUCUCUGAUGAUGAAGGUGAAGAAGCAAGCUCUUAUCAGGCAGUUGGAAUCACAUCGGUAGAGAUUAAGGCCAAGUUGAAAGACUUAUUAGCUCUGUUGCACCAAGACACAGCCCAGCUAGUAGACGAUUCUGAUCUGGCCAAAGUCAUAUUCAAGACCCUCCGUGGCCAAAUUCCAACCAAUGCAGAAGAAAUCCUCUUCCAAGCUACCUACCUAGAAAGUCGCCAACUCCAGUAUCAGAAGGCUACCCAGCGCCUUGCCGAUAGAGCUGCUCAUGCCCGGCUCACAGAGGAGAUGCUGCAAAUAAAGCAUGCUGCCGUUGAGAAACACAAGAGCAUUCGUAUUCUACAGUCCUCAGGGGAUGAGCUGAAACAAAAGAUCUCCAAUCUAUCGGCAAAAAGAAAAGCCCAGCUAGCUAAACUUAGGCAAGUAGAAGAGGCCCUGACUCAACCUCAGCAAGAAGAAAGCCAGCUGCCUGAUAAGCUCAAAACUCUUCAGCAAGAGAGAGAUGUCCAAGCCCGCAAAGCACUACAGAUGAAGAAGAAGCUGAAACUAGUGGAGGGUUCUGCUGAUAAAGACACUCGAGAAAUAGAAGAGGCCAACCAGAUUUGUCUGUGCGCAAUAUCGGCCAUUCAAGCUUUGCUGAAUCUGUGAACUUUUCAUCGGCAACUUGUUUAGUUUUGUUUCAAAAACUUCAAUCAUUUUGGUCCAGCCGAUAGGAUUGUUAUCGGCACUAAAACUCCAUGCAUGGCUCCAAAUACACUUAAUAUUCUGUCUAGCCGAUAGGACUGUUAUCGGCAUUUAAACUUUCAUGCAUCAAUCCAGAUACUCGGGUAGUAUUUCUUUAAAUAUUUUCCAUUUAAAGCUAUAGGGAAUUCAACUCCUUUGAGAGUUUCUAAAAUAUAAGCAUUGCCAGGAGUAGAUCGAUUUAUCCGAUAAGGACCCUCUCAAUUAGGAGACCACUUUCCAAACUUUGAGCUUUUAGUCCCAAUCGGUAGAAUCAGCUUCCACACCAAAUCUCCAUCGGCAAACUCCUUGGCCUUUACUUUCUUACCAUACCAUUUAGCAAAUCUCUUUUUAUUUUCUUCUAUGCUAAUUAAAGCUCCCAACCGAUGCCCUGCUAAAUCAUCCAACUCAUCUUUCAACAAAGUAGCAUAGUCAUCGGCAGUUAGCUGAUCUUGUGAAAAGAUCCGCCUGGAACUAGUUUUAAUUUCCCAUGGCAAUACCACAUCAUGUCCAUACACCAACUGAUAGGGUGAUGUUGGGUAUUCUUAACAUCAUUACCAAAAGUAGACUUAGUUUUCUAAUUCUGAUAACGGUGCCAAAAAUGCCAAACCUAUCCCUCAUACCACUUAAGCCAAGUUGUCAUCCCAGCAUGAUAUGAGAGACGCGGUAUUGAAAUAUGCAAUUGCUCAUCUAAAUAAAUAAUCAAAUGGGAUCUGCAAGCGCACAGAUUAAUACCGAUGUAGCAUUUUAACCGGGAAGUAUUCCAGGUAUCGUUAUUUAUAUUUUUACCACUGGGAAGGGAUUAGUAAUCAUCAGUGUUGAUCAUAGAAUGGAAUAUAGAUUUGAGUAUCUAUCAUUGCAUGUAUAAUUGAGAAUAUUUAUCUAACUCUUUCAUACAGGGAUAAGUGUCACAUAAAGGAUAUAUAAAAUAAUGAAUAGUGACAAAGAUAAUUAAUCUGAUCAACAUAACUUAGCCACAUAUAAAUAUGAUAACAACCUUAAUUAGAUAUUCUAGCAAGUCAUUAGCAUGGAAUUAGGACGAACUACAAGAAUAUUUCCUAAGUUAUUCUUAACUAUACAGUCUAGCAUAUCAUAGUUAGUGCAAUUAUACUUGACAAUCAUUGUGAGACAAGAUUACACCCAUGCAUAGUGAUAUUAUCAAGGUAAAUGAGAAACAUAGCAAUCACUCCCCUGUAAUAAUAUUGCUCUGCCAGCCCUAUACACGAGAGGGGGACUAUAUAAGAAUCAAUGAAGCUGUCACUAUCACGAACUACCCAACGAUCUGGCAUAUAGAGUACAAUCGUAGAUAAAUAUGGUAUAAGCACCACGCCUACACAAUAUCUAUCAUUUACCCAUGGAUCCGAUGGAUAAACGCUAUAUGAUCCUAAACAUGUAUAUAAUUCCAAUCUAACUAAGCCAAGUAUAUAACUAUGAUAAACUAAGAACAAUAUAAUUGUGAAUAUUAACAAGUAGAGCAAAGUCAUAAUCAAUAUAUUGAAGUAGAACAAAGUCGUAUUCAUAAUAUCGAAGAACAAAGAUGAACAAUUGAAGAACAAUAGAGAAUUACCAAGAAUCCUCUUGACAGAUCCGGAAACCAAUCGAAGAUUGACUCAUUCUAGUUCUAAUCUUAUGUAGCUAUGCUAAUCUUGAUGUCUAAUUGAUGUGGUGGCUCUAGGCUUGAUCAGAGGCUUCUUCUCCCUUGAUGAAUAAUGAAUUAGGGUUGAGAGCUCUCUUCCUCUAGGGGCCAGGGGGUCUGGUUUUAUAGUCCUUCCAAGUGAAUAUGGGCCAUCGGAUCAAACCGACAUAGAUUGAAUGGUUAUCCUUGAUCCUUUAGGUAGGUGGAGGAUAAUCCCAAAAGAGAGUCCUGAUUGGACUCCAGCAGGGGGCGGGCGCCCUGGGCCAGGCCCCGUUCUGCCUCCGCUUCGUUCUCGUGGCUUCUGGAGUCUUCUAGAUGUAAGAUAAUUGCGCGGCUCGUUAAUAUCUCUAUGUAAUCCUGACAUGUGGGCCUUUCUUCCGUAUUUCCUGAUAACCCCCUGCAAAAAUAGACAAACACCAAAACUUGUGGAAUUCUGUCAAAUAAAACCCUAAGUCUAGAUGUUGAUUUCAUUUGGAUCCUUUUCUUUAUUUAUUUGAUAAUUAAAUUUGAUACUUAAGGACCAUCAACAAACUCCCCCAAGCUUACCUCUUACUCGUCCCUAAGCAAUGAUAAUCUCAUGGAUGGAUCAGAAGUUGUCGUAAUGCCUUUAAAAGUUGAUGGUACACAUGCUUAUAAACAAGAUCCUAUCCCUAAGUUAGAGUAAACUGUCAAGAAUUAAAACUUACUUACUUUACCUUUCUCCAUGGGACUUGUAACCGUCACUUCUGUCUUGAGUAGUUAAAAGAUAGAACAGUCUAGUCAAGUGCCAUGUCUCUUAUUCUUGAUCAGCUAUAGCUCUGGAGUUUUUGCAGAUUUUCAAAUAAAACUCAGAGAUUCCUUGUAUGACUCUCUCAGAUCUCUCCUUUGUCGUAUUUUUGGAUCCUUACCAAGGCAUUGAUGGUAUAUUCCUUCUCUCAAAAUAUGUAGUAUUUGUGGUAUAAAGCAUAGUGACAUUGCCUUCUCUCUCACCCUACUCUAACAAGGCUUUUGAUAUCUGGAGCUCAUAGGUGGGAGAUAAAGUAUACAUACUUACAAGACAUUUAUUGCAUAGUCAAAUCAUGGAUCCAAAGAAACAAGUCAAGAAAUCAAAUCAAGAUGUGCAUGUGUGGCGAAUGAAUGGUGUAUGGUGAUGAUGGUGAUAACAAUGGUGAAAGUCUAAUUCUACUUUUGCUCUUUUGAGGGGAUACAUAUCUUUCUUGCUUUUUGAAACUUUUUUAGGAGAAUGAGAUGCUCUAUAUUUUCUUUUUCUUUCCUCUCAGGUGGGUAUUUUGUACCCCUAAUUCUACUGUCGGACACUUGUCCAUUUUUACCUCUCGUCUUACUUUUUCUUUUCUUUCGAGGUUCCGGGCACUUGCCCCUUUUUAUUUCCUCGUAUCUCUCUUUUUUUAGAGCACUCAUCUCUUGAAAUAAUAUAGCAAGUGGUAGUAACCAAGAUAACUUGAGCAUUUAUUUCACACGGGAAAAACAGAAAUGUUUUUGGCUAUUCUCUCCUAGAUUAGGAGUAGAAUAUUUUUGGGUGGUUCUGGAGAUGGAAAUGGGUGGAUAUAUGUGGAUGCGUACUUCCGGAGUAGAAGCAGCAUGUAUGAGUGAAUGUGCAAGUGAAUCUUGAUUUAACCACAUGACAAACUCCUAAGGGUCUACACAGCUUGACCACACUCAAUGCUCAUAAGCAGUAAAAAGUAAAUGUGUGGCUUAAAGUCUAGCAAGCAUGUAUAUAUGGCUGUGGUAGGAAUUUAAACUCUCAUCAUAC
This 65856-nucleotide long non-coding RNA is filed under the name Sorghum bicolor (sorghum). RNAcentral describes it as "long non-coding RNA (SBIC_LNC006276)". Lineage: Eukaryota; Viridiplantae; Streptophyta; Magnoliopsida; Poales; Poaceae. The record is from RNAcentral.